RNAcentral lists this long non-coding RNA (64130 nucleotides) under Malus domestica (apple). Its description in RNAcentral is "long non-coding RNA (MDOM_LNC008886)". Lineage: Eukaryota; Viridiplantae; Streptophyta; Magnoliopsida; Rosales; Rosaceae. The record is from RNAcentral.
GGUUGUCUCCAACUGUUCCUUAGUCGUUUCCAAUUGUUUCUUGAGCCUCACGUUCUCACCAUUCCGCCUUUUCAAACUCUCAAAGUUUUCAUCCUUAAGGCGGAUGGCAUCAGCCAAAGCUUUGCUCAUUUUUUUGGUGUCAUUCACAAGCUGCUUAUUCUCUUUAAACUUUACCUUGUACCGCUCGACCUCUCGUAAUCUGUCAUUGUACUCGGUCAUGACCUACAUGACAAGAUGAUUGUCACUACCAAGAAAAAGAGGGGAGAAAGCAAAGAAAUGACAGAGUAACACUUACAUAAGAAGAUAGCCUUAUCAUCCGGUCACGAUCUGAUUCGUUCUCAUCUAGCGGCUCACCAAGCUCAUUAACAGUGGAUCGACGUCCUGCCAGGCAAUUAUUGACAUACCUAAAACUACUUGGCUGUAUGGCAACUUUCAAGUUCUUCCAAUAAAUGUUGCCAACCUCUUCCUUGUACUUUCUUUUAUGGCUAGAGCUAGGGCCACCUUCUUGGUCAGUAGACUCCAUGGUUGGAGAAAAUAUGGGAUUGAUGGUAAAAAGAGGAGGCAACAAUCGUCUUUCCUCCUAUACAACUAUGGCAGCAGCACACCCGAUGGCCUCAGCUUCAGCCUUUCUUGAGGCAGCAAUCUUGAGGACCUUCUCUUGUGACUUAGGUUUAGGGGUUGGCCUCACCCGAUGCUUACGAGCUCUCUUGUGAAACAAAAUGUCGUCUACGGGAACUAACAUGGGUGCUUUCUCUUUAUUGGCACUAGUCUCCCCUUUCUUGCCCACUUUCUCCACUGAACAAGAAAAAUUAAAGUAAGGAAUGCAACUUUGUAAAAGAAAGAGGGGACGAAAUGAAAGACACAACUUACUUGCUCGUCUCUGGCACUCCGACACUAGGGGUUGGAAACUAUACUUUCGAAAUAAGGGUCGUAGCUUGCCCAAAUGUCUAUCCUCUUUAGGCACCCUCAACAUCUUCUCUACGUCAGCUAGCUUCCGUCCGGACAGCUUGAUGGUUUCUCGCGUCACUGCACGGAGAAAAAUGUUAGAAGCAAGAGAAAAUCACAACAAAUAGCAAAUAAUGCAAACAAGGGAUACAUUACAACCUACAGUCUGGAAGUGAGUAGGAACACGUCGCUCAGGCGUUACACCUUUAGCAUACUCCCAAUCAUUUUAAAGAAAGCACCAACAGUUUUUCCAAGUGCAAUACACAUUUUUCUUACCAAAGACAAUACGCUCUCUCUCACUCCAACAUGCACACUCGGUAUACCUAGUGCAUGCUUUCACCGGGCGCAUCUUAUAGCAGUAGCGCCACUGAUGAAAGGAAGGCUCACCUAACCCACAUUCCAUCCAAAUAAUAUAAAACCCGAUCAAGGUAUCCCAAAAACCAGGGUAGAGUUGGCUAGACGCAUAUCCAAUGAAAGACAACAUCUGUUGCAACCACGGGUGCAAAGGCAGCUUCACCCCUAAAAUCAAUAAUAUCUGGGUAUAGAACAUAACAUGACCUUUGGGCGGUUUAUAGGACAAUUCUUCAUGAUGCACCAAACGCAUUCCUACACUACGGGGGAUACAACAUGACUGCCUUAGGGCCUCAAGCUGUUUUUCGCUAUCUAACAAGUUUUGCACUAAAUGGUCUGCUGUGAACUCAAAGCGAAAUAUGGGUAUGGCGUCACAAACAACCCCCUCACCCAAUCUCGAAUUUUUUUUGUACAAGACUUCAACAAAGGCCCUGAAGACUCCAACAUUGCAAGCUCAAACCUAGAGUUAGAGUUAGGGGAGCCCUCAUCACUAGGACUUCCAAACUCUGAUAUCUACAACAAACAAAAACAAACUUUAUCACUGCAUGAAAGAUCAAAACAUAAGGAAGUUCCUAGGGCAUGAAAAAAAACUCAAUCAGUUCAUUAUGUUCUCAACCAAAUACAUGAACACUCAAACAAUUCAACAAGAAUGAAAGUAUGCGAUCUAGUAGAGAAGACCACCAACCUGAAGAUAGUGCAAAGUAAUGCCGGAAUCUCUGGAAUCUCUCACAACUAUAAAAGCACUCUGUCUCCAAAAAUCACUACAAAAUGAGCAAAUGAAGACAAUGAAAAGAGUGUAAACUUAUCAUUCUUAUAGGGUUCAACAUGGUCAAAUAAAUUCAAAAUUCAAAAUUCAAACCAUGAGAAAACCCCACAUGGAAAGUCUUCAAACUUCCACACAAUCUAGGGAGUUUUCAAAUUUCAAACUUGCAGCACCCCCUCCCCCUCUCAAGAAAAAUGGGGGGGGGGAGGGGGUGGGAGGAGGUGAACACAUUAGAUUCAUCAAAGGAGUUCAACCAUAAUUCUCAAAAGCUUCACACACUCUUGAUCAAGACAGUGUGAAGCAAAACCAAUUUAUGGUGCCAACAAGAGCUUUAUCAAUAGAGGGCAAUCACAAUUCUCAAAAGCUUCACACACUUUUGAUCAAGACAGUGUGAACCAAAACCAAUUUAUGGUGCCAACAAGAGCUUCAUCAAAAGAGUUCAACCACAAUUCUUAAAAGCUUCACAAACUCUUGAUCAAGACAGUGUGAGGCAAAAAACCAAUUUAUGGUACCAACAAGAGCUUCAUCAAUGGAGGGCAACCACAAUUCUCAAAAGCUUCACACACUCUUGAUCAAGACAGUGUGAAGCAAAGUCAAUUUAUGAUGCCAACAAAAACUUCAUCAAUUGAGGGCAACUACAAUUCUCAAAAGCUUCACACACUCUUGAUCAAGACAGUGUGAAGCAAACCAAUUUAUGGUGCCAACAAGAGCUUCAUCAAAGGAGUUCAACCAUAAUUCUCAAAAGUUUCACACACUCUUGAUCAAGAUAAGCAAAACCAAUUUAUGGUGCCAACAAAAGCUUCAUCAAUGAAGGGCAACUACAACUCGUAGAAAGCUUCACACACUCUUGAUCAAGAUUGUUCGAAGCAAUUUCAAUUUAUAUGGUUCAUCCAAACCUUCGACUACUACAAGGUGUGGCUUGCAUCACAAUCUCUUACUCAAUUUUGUGGAAGUAAAAUUUGUAUAUGUUGUCUCUCCCACAUUUUCAAAUUUCUAAUUUCCCAAAAAAAAAAAGGAAAUUGGGAAAUUCAACAAAGCUUCAUCAAUGGAGGACAACUACAAAUUCUCAAAAGCUUCACACUAUCUUGAUCAAGAUAGUGUGAAGCAAAAUCAAUUCAUGGUACCCAACAAAGCUUCACCACAAAAGCUUCACCAACAAAAACUUCAUCAAUGGAGGACAACUACAAAUUCUCAAAAGUUUCACACUAUUUUGAUCAAGAUAGUGUGAAAAUCAAUUCAUGGUACCCAACAAAAGCUUCAAAUCCGAAGCUUCACCUACAAAGCUUCAACUCCAAAGCUUCGCCUACAAAAGCUUAAACACAAAAGCUUCACCCACAAAACUUCAACUCCAAAGCUUCACCUACAAAGCUUCAACACAAAAGCUUCACCCACAAUAGCUUCACCUACAAAAGCUUUACCCACAAAAGCUUCACCCACCACCAAAGCUUAAUAUAAAAUAUAUAUAUAUAUAUAUAUAUAUAUAUAUAUAAAUUUUCAGAAAUUUAAAAAUUCAAAAAUUCAAAAAUUCAAAAAUUCAAAAAUUCAAAAAUUCAAAAAAUCGAAAGAAAAAAAAAAUUGCCUAGGCCUCAUCUUCUUUGGGCCUAACAACUUUCAUAACAAAUAUAUAUGAAGGAGGAGUUUUGGGCUACCAUGUAAAAAGGAAAUGCCUCAUUCGUCAACUCCCUCGACCGGAGACUUGGGGGACUCCUACCAUAUGUUACUGCACCUUGAUACUCGGAAGUCUCACGACCACUUAGUGACUUGGAUUUUUCAAGUCUCCAAUCGAGAAGUUUUCCUCACUCGGGAAAUUAAGGGAGCACUACCUCAACAUACAUGCUUCACUCACAAAGCUUCAACAUAUAAGUUUCAACAAAAGAAAAAAAUUCAAAGAACUUAGUGAAGAAGACUUUGGUGUAUUUAACACAAUACGUUGAAAUGAAGCAAAACUUAUUUAUUAACAUCUCCGAUAAGUUACAAAUAUGUACAUAUACAUGAGUCAAAAUAAACAAACAAGAGAGAACUUUCAUAAAGGUUGCUCAUGAAAAGUCUCAGCAGUCGGCAGAGCCCUAGAAAGAUAAGGCAUCAGAGGGUGAUCAUUCAGAGCCUUAGUACUGGACAGAACCCCAGAAUGAGGAGGCAUCGGAGGUUGAUCAUUUGGAGCUUCAUUACGCGGUACAACCCUAGAAGAUGAAGGCAAUAAAUGCCUUUGGAACAAACCCACAAACCUCUGAUGAUCAAAUAAAAUCUGACCAUUAGAUUCAUGCAUCUGGUCAAACUUACUUUUCAUGUUUGUAGCAUAGUCAUGUGCGAGCAUGUGCAACUGUUUAUUCUUAUGCUUGAGCCCUCUAAUCUCCUGUUUGAGACUUAUCACUUUAGCCGCCAAUGAUUCAACUUGGCGGGUUCGAGCAAAUAAAUGUUGGGCCAUAUUAGACACAGAACCUGUACACUGAACAUUAAGAGCCAGAUAAUCCUUAAUAACCAACUCAUCAGACCGUUUGGAAAGUAGUCUGUUAUCUUUAGGAGUGAGAAGGUUCCUGGACACCACCGCAGUGGUCAUAUCAUUCUUCAUCACAGAGUCCCCAACGGUAAGAGUACCAGUAGAGGAUAAGAAGGAUUGGCGCCAUAUGUUGUCUUGAGAAGGCAUGGCUACCUCUACACCAAAGUUCAAGUCAAAAUGACGGUUGGAUGGGCCAAACAUUUUCAGAAAUGAUGAAGGAGAAAUGAGGUCCAAUAAAUCUCUAAAGUACGAAAAUAAAGGGAAAAUUCUUACAAGCAAUAACUCUCUAAACGUACUUCUUACACACAAUUGGUGCCCUUAUAAAAGAAAAGGCAACAUGGCCGUUUGUUCAAAAAUCGAAGAGGCAACACUCUCCGGAUUUCGAGAAGCAGAUUUUCUUGAGUAAAAUAUGUCGACAAUUCCCACACGCAACAUCAGCACCUCAGGUACUGCAGAUAACUUUACCAAAGAUCUCUGACAAAGUUUAGACACAUAAAUUUUGAAGGUCCAGCUACCCUACCAUUACCCACAAGGGUAAAGAAACAUCACCACUACUUGAUAACUGGAAAGUCCUUGUGUGUGCCAACCUCCGUGCUCCGUGGCAAGACCGACUGGCAAAAAUGCCCAACCUUUACUCACAUCGAGAAAACACUCCCAGUAGGAUUACUUGCUCAAAAAUCGAAGAAGCAUUGCUCCCCGAAUCUCGAGAGCCAAACUCCCACCAAGAUGGCUUCCUAAAAAAUCGGAGAGGCACCACUAACUGACUAUCGAGAGCCAGACUCACAACAGGAUUGUUUUCCCAAAAAUCGAAGAGGCACCGCUCUCCAAAUCUCGAGAGCCUGACUCCCAACAGGAUUGCUUUCUUAAAAAUUGAAGAGGCACCGUUCUCCGAAUCUCGAGAAUCAGAUCCCCGACAAGAUUGCUUGUUCGAAAACCGAAGAGGCACUGCUCUCCAAACUUCGAGAGCCAGAUUUCCUUGGAUAAAGCUUAUCUGCAAUCGUCACAAGCAACAUCGGCUUUCCAGAUACUACAGACCACUUUUUCGAAGUGCUCUGAAAAAGUUAAAACACGUGAAUCUUGCAACUCCCACUACAUUGCUAUGACUGAGAAGGGUAAAGGAAUAGCGUUACUACUAGCUAUUGGGACAAUUUCUAUAUAUGUCGACCUCCAUCCUCCACAACCAGGCAUACCUGUAAAUAAAAAAAAAUGCUCAACUUUUAUUCACAUCCAAGAAGGCACUCCCAAUAGAGUCUCUCGAAAUACUCAGCUUCUUCCCCCUCCCCCCCCCCGGCGAUAAUACUUAUGCAAACAAGUCACACCAAAGUAAGAGUAUCUCAUAUCAUGAGGGUUAAAAGAAAAAGUAUCUCAUAUCGUGCUUUUUCCCUGUAUUUUCCUUUGCCCUUACUCUUACCUGCAGGACAAAGAGAAAAAACAUAAUCAGUCAGAACCUAAAAUCAAACUUCCGAUCUGGAACUGAUUGCCCGAAAUAUUUGCAUGGUUGUUUGCCUAACAUUGCUCUCGAGUACUCAUCCUCAAUUGUUGUCAAGGUCAUAAAGUCCUUCGGCAAAUACCUCAGAACAGUUAAUAUGAUAUUGACGUUUCACACUGAAGCUGCCACGCAUGGAUGAGUUGCUGAGAAGUAGUGCUUUGAAGAACCAUUUAAAUGCAAAGGUUGAAUUCCAUUCCUACAUCGAGGACAAAUGUUGUAAGAGAUUGAAACAUAAUGAUCAAUGAUGAGCUAGAACAUAUCACUACAACACGAUGCCCUUCCUGCAGAACCACACAACCCAGACAGAGGAGUCUAAAUCAAAUCCAAACCCAGCAUCGCUGCCCUAUCCGAAGAACUUGAGAAUCUUCAACAACCUUUUGCUGACACCAUCACCAAAUAGCAAAGCUUCGCCAUACCACACCCACUACUUUAUCAACAGCAAAAGUAUCCCAUAUCAUUAGGGUCGAACGUACUCUAGAUUUGAUGGACUUGUUUUGACCCUUAAAUUCUUAAGUCGGCCUUAUACUUUGGAGGAAACCAGAAAACCCUUCAACCCAAUUCAAGAAUAAGCUUGUGGAAAGUUACUUCUUCAAAAGUAAAAGUAUCUCAUAUCAUAUCUUCUCCAUUUGCUUCUCCUUAUCCAUGUUGCUGUUUACGACACAAUGAGAAGGAGAACAAUCAACCGGAAGCCGAAGUCGAACCUCUGAUCCAGGUUGCUUGCUUGGAAGUCUGAUUGCUUACCUUGUCUGUUACCUCAUUCGGCAAAUCUCCUAACUCGGCGACUUGGAUGACUCUUACUAUAAGGUUUGUAUCGCACUUGACCAAGCCAGAAAUUACAAGUAAGCUUCAAUUGAUACAUUACCUUGUGCAUCUUCAUCGAUUAAAGAUACCACCCUUGGAUGAAGGAAAAGUACUUCCAGAGAAGAUGCCACAUCUACAUAUAAGACAGAUAAGGCAAGUGAAAAUGAUACCACACUUCGGUACUUAGAAGUUUUGUGAUUACUUAAUGGCUUGGAUCUUGCAAGUCCCCAAUCGAGAAGCUUCCCUCACUCGGGAACUUAAAGGAGCACUGUUUGUACCAUACUUGACCAACCCCGAAACUACUAAGCACCGGUCAACAUUAUACCACCAAGGACCCACAAGAGUCUCCCUCCAACCAGGAGACCAAUCAGCGACACAUGUCAACAUCAGAGACCAAUCAUAACGCGACACGUGUCGAUAUCAGAGGUCAAUCACAACACGACACGUGUCAAUGUCAGAAUGAAACUAGAAACUCACUUCUAUAAAUAGAGAUCAUUCUCUCACAAUAUUUUCUAAUGUUAUUUGUACUAAAUCAUUCGCUAGUACUCACUAAAGGAGAGCUUGAACCUAUGUACUUGUGUAAACCCUUCACAAUUAAUGAGAACUCCUCUACUCCGUGGACGUAGCCAAUCUGGGUGAACCAUGUACAUCUUGUGUUUGCUUCCUUGUCUCUAUCCAUUUGCAUACUUAUCGACAUUAGUGACCGGAGCAAUCUAGCGAAGGUCACAAACUUAACACUUUCUGUUGUACCAAAGUCCUCACUGAUUUUGUGCAUCAACAUGACUCAUUUUGAUGGAAUUCUGAUGUUGAUGAAAAAGACCAUAUAUGCAUGUUUUGACUAGUUAAGAGACUAAUGGUCAUGGCAAGUGGCCUUUUACCACAAUGGUGGAAAGGUGUUGAGCCUUUCCAUAGCAGCAUUGGUUCAAAUCUUGUUCGGUGUCCAACAUCCUAAUCUAACAAAUCUAUCAUUUGACAAUAAAAAAGAGACUACUGGUCAUGAAUUUUUAGAACAUCUCUAAAGAAGAUGUCAAAUUUGAAACAUCAAAUUGAUAUUUGAUGGCUUAUGUGGCGAAUUGACAUUUUGUACAAUUUUUUUAUUCACUCGAUAUGUUAAAUGAUAAUUCCAUUCUAAAUUUUUUUUUAUCACUUUGUAGGGUCCAUUUAUUGAGGCAACCAAUCUAAUUCUUAGAAUACACAACAACAUUUAUUAUAUGCAUUAAAUGUAAUAAAAAAAAAUACUAAAUGCAUUUGACAGUAGAAGACUUUGCCUUCAAUUGACUCAACGCCAUGUAGGAAAUUGAAGGCUCAGUUGGAGAGAGUGUGCUGCCAAUUUUUACUAUUAUAUACUUAUACGACAGUUUUGACAUCUCCUUUAGCGAUACUCUUAGUUGAAGAAUCAUUACUCCAUUGAGUUAAAGUUGAUGAACUAUUUCUACAAUUUUCUCGGAUUUCAUUUGUUGUAGAAGAGAUCUAAUGUAAGUUCCAGCUAUGUGAUGGUUAGCCGUCCAUAUACACAUAGCGACACUGUGAAAGUGAUAGUGUAAAGGGAUUACAUUUGAGAGAAACUCUAAUUUGUGGAACAUUGAAUUUGUGAAACAUCAAAAGCUUGAGAGAAACUAUUUUUUUAAUUAUAAUUAAGAUAAAUAAAAUAUAUCAAAUUAAAACUUUAAAUAGUCCUGGAAAACCCUUGAAAGAAAAACAAAACAAGACAUUACAAAAAAAUUGAAAAUUAAUUUUAAGACUUAAAAGGUGUUUUUAACCUAGGAAAUUUUUGAAACAAAUUGAUCCUAUUUUGCAACGACGAGUUGGACUCAUCUCUUUUUUUCCUGUUCAGAAAGGUAUUUUGAACCAUCACUGAAACACUAUUUACACUAAAAUUCACCUUUUUGAUAUGCUCGUUCAGCCUUACAUCAUACACAAGUAAUAUUUAGUCAUUAAAACCUACAUAGUCUAUAUUUUAUCAACCAUCACGCGUGAAUGACUGAGCUUUACAAAAUCAUGCACAAAUAGAGACCAUUUUUUAAGUAUAAUUGGUUUGUGUCCCUCCAUUCUUGGAGGGUGGGGAGGGUUAUGCAUUUGCUGGUUAUUUUAUGUUGGGGGAUAGAAACCCAAUUGGGGUUCACUUUCUUUUGGGAUUUGGACAAAUGCAGACGGGGGCCUCAUGUUAUGUUCUCAAACAGGAAAGGGGUGAUUCAAGUGGUCCCAUUUGGCACUUGCUGUAUAAAAAUAAGAUGCUGGGGAGAGAUGGACUGAUGGAAGGGAAAGCUGAAUCUUUGUGUAAUCAGAUCUCAAACCUACGAGUUUUCAUUAAAGGGAGGGCUCUAUGUCCUUGCAUGUGGACCAGGACAAGGUGAUGUAAUUUGUCUAUAAAUGAUGAAACAGUCGAGUUGUGGGAAAUAUGUAGAUCGAUUGACAUGAAACCUUUUUAUCUUGUCCAAACAGUCAUCAAAUUCUAAUAUGUUGAAAAGCUGUGUGGAGAAUGGAUAUAAUUAGAUGACUAGAUUUCUUCAUAAGUAAUCCAUUUACGUACCUUAGUUAGUGGGGUGUAUAUUGUUUUUCUGCUUCUUCAUAAUCCCAAAUGAUCGUAUAACUAAUAUGGUCAUUGUUUGUACCAUACUUGACCAAUCCCGAAACUACUGAUCACGGGUCAACAUUAUACCGUCAAGGACCCAGAAGAGUUUCCCUCCAACCAGGAGGCCAAUCACAGUGCGACACGUGUCGACAUCAGAAGUCAAUCACAGCGCGACAUGUGUCAACAUCAGAAGCUAAAUGAAACUAGAAACUUUCUUCUAUAAAUAGAGAUCAUUCUCUCACAAUAUUCCUAAUGUCAUUUGUACUAAAUCAUUCACUUGUACUCACUAAAGGAGAGCUUGAACCUAUGUACUUGUGUAAACCCUACACAAUUAAUGAGAAUCUCCUCUACUCCGUGGAUAUAGUCAAUCUGGGUGAACCAUGUACAUAUUGUGUUUGCUUCCCUGUCUCUAUCCAUUUACAUACUUAUCCACACUAGUGACCGGAACAAUCUAGCGAAUGUCACAAACUUAACACUUUGUUAUACCAAAGUCCUCAUUGAUUUUGUGCAUCAACAGUUAUGAUAAGCCAAUGUUCUUUGAUCACAAACUGUUGAGAUGUGAGUGAUUAUGUGUUGACUGGUAGCCAACAAAAUACACUAAGAUAUUAUGAUACAUUUAUCGACAAUAUAGGUACUCUUUAUCAACAAAAUAUGACAUCCUGCACUAUAUGUACAAGACUAACCAUGACUCAUAAAUCCUAAAGCUACAAAGCAAGGCGCACCUCUUCAUGUGGAAACUUGGCAUACCAAUUCAUCCAAAUUACAAUAUGUAGUAUCGUUGAGUCUAUAUGUUGUAAUGUAAGUGAAUUGGUGAUAUAACGUGAUAUUAUUACUGUCAUACUAAAUUUUAUUAACAAAAAUUAAGAAUAUUGUUUUGUCCAAUCAUAACUAUUUUUGUUGACGUUUGCAUGGCACAACCAAAAUCGUAUGUCACGUUGCACUUAUUCUCUAAAGCAAACCUAACUCACUUUAAACUCCUACUGCACUCUCCACGUAUAUUUCAAGUACUUUUUAAGAAGUUAUUUGUAUCAUAUAGAAAACCUUACUCAGAUCGCUACAAUUAGAAGAAAUUAUUAGGUAGUAUAUAUAGGGGUGUGAUAUCCACACAUCUUUUUUUACUUCUCACACACCCUUCUAAUUUUUGGCCGUCGGAUCGGAUAAAAUGAAGAAGAUCAACGAACAUAAAUUAACAAGGGGUGUGUGAGAAGUAAAAAAGGGUGUGUGGAUAGCACUAUCCACACAUCCCUUUUUACCACACAUCCUUUUUUACUUCUCACACACCCUUUGAUAAUUUAUGUCCGUUGAUCUUCUUCAAUUCAUCCGAUCCAACUGUCGAAAAUUAAAAAAGUGUGUAAAAAGUAAAAUGGGAUGUGUGGAUAUCACACCCCUAUAUAUAUUUAUUUGAUGGUCUGAUGGAUGAUGGAUCUCUGUUCGCAAGAGUAAUAAUUCUUCACAAGUUCGCAUCAGAAACAUUGUUAUCAUGUCCUUUAUCUAGUUGUCAUCAUCAUAAGUUAAGGAAAUACCAAAGUAUAUUAGCUUUAGAUACGUUUAACAAAACUAUUCUCUUUUUGGUUUAUAUAUAACCGCCCAACAGUACGUAUUAUUAUCUUCGAAUAUCAUGUGUACGCGUACAUUAGAAAAAUAAAAAGUAAAACAAUUGUUUCUCACAACGGAAAUUCCUAUUGAGUAGUUCGAUAUGUUUGCUCGUAUUAGCAAUAUUAUUUGUUAUCUGGAAAUAGUUGAUGAACCAUUAAGUUCAAUUGAAAAAAAAAAAGUAGGAAGAAUUAAUAGUGGGUUUUACAAAUAUGUUUUCAAUUAAUCAUGAACAGAAACUCAACCAGUAAAAGAAGGAAUGAGUAGAGGAGACUGAUUGUGCCAAAUGAUCCUCCUACUCCAAGCUGCACUGGUUUGUGUGCGUACUCUUAUGAAUUGCAGACUUGCAGAGAGUUGUCCAGCUGCUCUGGCGUAUAUACGUACUUCAAGCUUCACUUACACCAUGUAUGGUAGAGAAUCCCACCACAAAGAAAGAUCACACAACACAAAAAAGGGAUCAUCAAUCAUGAUUGCUUAGAUGAUAGAGUGCCGUGUACAUCAUAAGAUAUAGUUUUCUUUUCGUCCUUUGUGCGGUUACAAACUUACGAGUUUUCGUACUCGAAUUUCAUGUAUUUAUUAAAUUUUCAAGACAAAAGUAGAGCCUUGUACACUGAAUUUGCAAUUAACAAGUCAUUAAGGUGAUCUUUAGACAUGCAGAGGUAAACUUAGCGUCGAAUUUAAGCUAUGUUUUAGCUCUUCAAAAAUUAGAUUUUGUAAAGAAUAGUUCAUGUCGUCUUCAUCUCCAACAUUGGAUGGCUAUAUUUCAAACCCCUUAAUAUAUGUUAUAUUGUAGUGCUAAGUAAAAAUUAUGAUACAACACAUUAUAGAAAUAUAAAUCAAUUUUAAGGAAAUAUGAGGGAGGCUUGUAGGCUAUGACUCACUAAUCAUGAUGCGGGAGCCAAGGCUUUAAAAAAUUAAAAAAAAAUUGAAAACUUCUCGUUGGCAUUGGAAAUUCAAAUAAUAAAGGCAUUGUAAUUUAUUUUAAUGACAUAGGAACUUGUUAAGUCAUUUCUAGAGAGUUUUUUAGGAAGUUGUGGUCUAUUUAUGCUUCUUUAUCUUUAGUUCCUUUAAAUAUUGAUGUAUUAGAAGCCAUUGCUAGACUUGAAUGAAUUAAAAUAUAUUUUGCUUUGUGCAAUUGAAGUGAGUGAUUUCUCCUUCCCCAAUCAAGCAUUUGGCUUGGUCAUCCAUGAUUAACGACGUGAGAUAGCUCCGUUGCCCCUGGUUGAGCGAAUCCCAGGUUAUCUAUUCCCUUCUCCUCGAUACCCUUGGUUCUGUCCUGCAUCAAAUGGCAUUAGAGCAGGUUUUCCGCUGCAGUUGAAAAUCAUGGCUAUGAUUAUCAAUCCGUUUCAAGAUCACAUCGUUGAAGAGAUUAGUUUCAUCGAUUGGAAUUCACCACCAAUUUAUGAUGAAUACGUUGAUGAAGACGAAGUCAAAAAUCAUUUUGUGAAUGAAGUUAAUGACAUCGAGCCUUCCAUGCAUCAAAUGGUAAUCUGUUACUGCUAUUCAUCUUUUGGAUGCUACAAGGAUCUUCAAAGUACUCCAAGCAUGAUGCAAAUGGAGAUGCUUCAGACCUACAAGGAAUGGAUGAUGGCAAGGUGCUACUGAUGUCCCAAAUGAAUUUUGAAAAGAAUUUCAGACAGUCUACAAUUUUUGUGACUUCAACAUGGAUGGAACAAGGCGAUGUCCCUCCUUCCUCAAGCCCAGCAAUGAUGCUUAAAGAGGCCACUCAUGUGAUAAGUUGCGGUUAUGAAGACAAAACUGAAUGGGGUUUAAAGAUAGGUUGGAUUUACAAAUUUAUCAUAGAGAGCAUUCUAAGGGGUUUCAAGAUGCAUUCUAGUGUGGUUGGAGGUCAUUUUCAAUCAAAAAGAAGGAACCAGGGCCUACAACGUUUGAAAGAAUGGGGAAAUGGUAUUUUCAUGAAUAUUUUGUGGCUUGGAACACUUUGAUCGCCGUGAACUUCAUUUUACUAUUGUGGUUGUUGUGGAAGAAUCUGCAAGGUCAUCCCAAAGAUCGAGGAAGACCAAAUGGAACUUGAGGACGAGUUUUCUUCGAGAAUGGGAGAAUGAUGCGGGAGCCAAGGCUUAAAAAAACAAAAAAAUAAACACAAAUUGAAAACUUCUCGUUGGCAUCGGAAAUUCAAAUAAUAAAGGCAUUGUAAUUUAUUUUAAUGACAUAGGAACUUGUUAAGUCAUUUUUAGAGAGUUUUUUAGGAAGUUGUGGUCUAUUUAUACUUCUUUAUCUUUAGUUCCUUUAAAUAUUGAUGUAUUAGAAGCCAUUGCUAGACUUGAAUGAAUUAAAAUAUAUUUUGCUUUGUGCAAUUGAAUUGAGUGAUUUCUCCUGCCCCAAUUAAGCAUUUGGCUUGGUCGUAUGAGUGAAUCCACGAUUAGCGACGUGAGCUAGCUUCGUUGCCCCUAGUUGACGAAUCUCAGGUUAUCUAUUCCCCUCUCCUCGAUACCCAUGGUUCUGUCCUGUAUCAAAUCAAGUGCGAGAUUUCUCCUCUAGAUCAUUGAUUAAGGAGUUCAUAUUUCUCUGAGCUUAUCAUUUAUAAGAAAGAGAUGUUGUAACAAAGUAUCCUAAAAUGAAAUCCUUGGUACCGAAAUGAUUAGUCACUUCUUCAUUCAGUACAGUUUUUUUUUCUUUUCUUUUUUUUUUUUUGCUUCAAAAGGGAUCAUGGCUUCGCCACGGUAAUCUACCUUUUUGAAGGCCAGAAAGACUCACAAAGGCAUUUCAGCCUCUCUGGCCCAUCGUGCUAUUCACAAGUGCAAGGAAUUGAACCCAAGAGAUACCGUGUGAAAUACAUAUCUUAAAUUUAUCCCCAACCACUAGACCACCCUGUGGUGGUAUCAUUCAGUAUAGUUAAUUUGAUAUUUAAUUGAUAUUUCCAACUCAUUUAGUUAUAUACUUUAGUUUAGAUUAAAUUUCCAAACCACGUAGUUCUUUUCCCAAUUGACUUGAUCUGGUCACGGAUUAGUAAUAGAACUUUGAAAUUAUUGAUAAUUAUGUGACAGAGAAAAUCCUUAAAACAGCCCGCCAGAAGAUAAGUGCUAGUUAAUAGAGGUAGGAGCAAACAUUCAUGAAAUGAAAUGUCAGGUUCAUCAGUCUUCUCCCCCACUAUAACUAAUUGAGCUGUAUGUUGAUUAAUUAAGAAGAAUCAAGUAGUUAGGCCCUUCCAUCAUCUUCACCUACUACUAUAAGUUCCAACAAUUAUAAUACUAAUCUAAUUGGGCCAACAGAAAAUUAAUGUAACACCUCAUUCACAACGUACCAUAACUAAUUUAAUGUGAUAUUCUGCAUCCAAUAGGAAGUUUUCAAAUUGAAAUCCAACUUGCUUUAUAUGUAUAGGGUGAAAACGUCAAACAUGUUUGGUGGGUUUUAAGUCAGAUUUGGGUAUUUUAAGUUGGGUUAGAAGGUUUAUUAGUUUUCAGCCAUUAGAUUAAUGCAACGGGCGCGUAGAGUGGUUAGUUUUCUAUUACAUUUUUAACUAGUUAGCGCUUGAACACUCUUGCAUAAUACGUAACAAAUAUAAUGUUUGGUUCAAUAUCGAGGUUGAGGAUGAGAAUUAUAAAUUUUCCAGUUUGAGAUAUAUGGUAUUCGAAUUAAAAGUUUUCUAUCAGAAUUAAAACCAGAUCAAGGAAACAAGAAUAUAGUUGAUAGCCAACUAGGUUAAGUUGGGCAGUUUUGUGUCUUAGAAGAAACGCCGACUCUCGUUCACAUCCAUAUUGAGUUAAGAAAUUAAAGUACAAAAUGCCUAUGAGUCGAACAAAGGAACGUUGAUCUUGGGAAAUUUACAACAGGACGAGAACCUGAAAUCAUCAUUUCAAAUGUGUAGGUUGUUAUAUAUGUGCAUCACAUGACCUCUAUGAUAGCAGUGUUUAUCUAGGAUGCGUGAGAGUGUGCAACGGGCUAGGGCAGCUUGACCAUGCCCAGUUUAAUGUCAACCUAGCACAACACAUCAUGAUUUUUUGAGGACUAGGGCAAGCAUGGGACACGCCAUGGCGUGAGACACGAUUUUCGUUGCACGUCUCUGACGCGGGCACGAGCUCAUUGUGAGCUGGACUCGUGCGAAACCCUACCUACCUCCAAACUACAUGCAACUAAAACGUAGUUUGAAUUAUAUGAUAUCCAAAAUAUCAGAUUUAUAGGUUUACCCUCCCUAUAGCUGGAUGACAUCCCGACUACGGGAGAGGCAAGAAUUCAUUCCAGGGAUUUCAAGUAAUUGACCGUGUCAAGGAAGAGUUGGAGAAUAUUUGCCCCGGUGUAGUGUCAUGUGUGGACAUUCUCGUGGUGGCUGCGAUAGACGCCGUUCUGAUAUUCACUCUUAAAAUAAUUAGUUCUCCGCUUCAACUUUAUUUUACUUUACUUUCCACACACCAUUUCUGGCUUCGUCACUGUUUGGACCUGAUUUUACACAUCGGCCUAAGCAAUCGAGGCCGUUGAGUAAGCAUGGUUCUCAACCGUUGGAUAAGAAAGUUUAGAUAUUAUUGUUAAGAGAUAAUAUUAUGAUUUUUAAUCAUAAUAAUUAUUUUUUUUAUAAGUUAUCCCGGUUUUUUAUGCAAAAUAAAUGGGAUGGAGGCAAGUAGAGUUGUGAUGGGGACGUGAGCUUUGAAUCAUGUUGGUUUGUUUUGCUGGACAUGCAUGCAUGGGAUGUAAAGAUAAUGAAGUGAUAGGGGAUAAAUCCAAACAUGCCAAAACGUGUAAUUUGCAAAAGAAUUGUGCAAUAUGGAGAUUCUAUCCUAAUGCAUGGUUUUUUGGGUUUGGUUUUGUGCACGUGGCAUGCGACAAUGGAGAUGAUGGUUUUGCAUGGUGAUGGCAAUAUGGGUUUAAAGGUUUCUCAUGUUUUUUUAAUAAGAAGCCUAGGUGGGUUAGAUCUCUAGUGAGAUGUGAUAAAGCCUAGGUAGGCUUUAUUUAUCUGAAGGAUAUGUGCGGCGUAUUUGAUACGGGAUCAGGGUCAAUUCCACAAAAUAGAGUUGCAGUUGGACUCUACAAAAUUAUUUGGCCGCGUCACACAACAUUUGCUCCUAUAAAUACAGAGAUAGUGGCAACGGAAGAAAGACCCCUGCAAAUCAAUACAAAAUUGCCCUGCGCAAAUUCUCACAACUUGUGAUUUUUCUUUUUCCUUUUUCGCUGACACAUCUUCCGUUGGCGUCAACAGCACUGUGGAAGCAACCGGUGAUAUCUUAAGUCGGCAUAGAUAGCUCUGUCACCGUAGAAUCAAUCGGUCUCGCAGUAUCUUCCGUUGGCAUCAACAGCACUGCGGCGAGAACGGUUAAUUACCUAUCCAAGUCUCGGUCGAGAAGGGUUUCUGAACCCUUAUUGGUCGAUGUCAUCUCAUCAGCCUUCUCGGCGAAGUGAGGUGUUACACGUUAUUACGUUCGGCAUAUUGAAAGCCGAAUUUGAUAUUGAACUUCGUAAGAAUAGUAACCUUGUCUUCAGGUUCGAGAGCCCAAGAGGCCGAGACGUGUUCCUUUCUCGGCCGCAAUCGCAAGACGCAGAAGUCAGCCGCGCACCCAACGCAACAUCAACAAAUUUACUCCUUGGCCGAGCUCGGCCGACGAGUUGGCACGCCCUGCAUUCACCGAAGGACGUAGUUAGCUCAUUAAUUAUUCGGCCUGCACGCCACGUAGGCUUUGUAGUUUUUAGGGUCAACAUUUUGGCACGCCCAGUGGGACCCAGUGCUAAACUACGAAGUUCACAUGAUCUAUCUCGAUCCGGCUUCAAGGGAUGAGUGUUAUCGCCUAUUAAAGGAGCAAAAACAACUUCUCGAAAGUUUGAGAAGAAUUUCUGAAAGGCAAAAGGCCGAGGGGCAAAUCUCCACUCCGGCCACAACCAAUAUUCGGCCUAAGAAAAGUGAUAAUUUGGCCGAAGAACAAAGGCCACUUGUUGUUUCGGUAGAGACUGAAAAUAUAGUAGGCCUAGAAGAAAAAAUUCAAGUCCCUAAGCUAUAUACAAAAAUUGACUUGGAAAAAGAUUCGUCAAAAGAAUGCUCUAGUGACGAACGAGGCCGAAAUAUUGGCCUAGCCCGAGAAACUACGCCAAUUGAUAUGAUUAUUGGCAAUAAAGCCGAUAUGGAGAAAUCCUGUUCGGCUAAGUUAUUUGAAUUAAAAGCCGAAAUUAUGCUUGGGGGGCUGUUUGGACUCAAAUUUACACCAUCGGCCCAUGUAAUCAAGGCCGUUGAGUGAGCAUAGUUCUCGACCGUCAGAUGGAAAAGUGAAGAUAUUUUUGUUAAAGGAUAAUAUUAUGAUUUUUUAUCAUAAUAAUUAUUUUUUAAUGAUGAAUUAUCUUGAUUUUUUCCUGGUACAAGAUGGAUGAGAUGUAAAUGUAGUUCAAUUUGAUUUGGGAUUCUUGGAGUUAAGACGCGUGGUGGAUUGGGAGCAUCAGAGCACGUUAUUAAGAGUCCUAAUACACUACUGCAUUGUUGGCAAAUGGAAAUUGGCAGAGAUAUUAAUGCUUGCAUAAAGAUGAAGAUGUUAAAUUGGAGAUGGAUAGCCACGUGUGAGUGGAUUUGGUGGAGCCAUGCAUGCAUAUCAUUAUUUCAAGUCAAGAUGCUUAUCGGCACUAAUUGGUAUAUGCUAAUAUGCUAUUAAUUAGCAAGAGGUGGUUGCAUGUUGGUAAGUGAUAACAAUCUUUUUGCAUGAGAUUGUUAUGAAUGAGGACUUUGAUGUUGGCGGCAGCUUUACAACACGAGCCGUCAGGAUGAGGAUGAUACUUAUAAAUACAGAGUCGCAAACAACGGGUAGGACCCCUGCAAAUCAAUACAAAAUUGCCCUGCGCAAAUUCUCACAACUUGUGAUUUUUCUUUUUUCCUUUUUUCGCUGACACAUCUUCCGUUGGCAUCAACAGCACUGUGGAAGCAACCGGUGAUAUCUUAAGUCGGCAUAGAUAGCUCUGUCACCGUAGAAUCAGUCGGUCUCGCAGUAUCUUCCGUUGGCAUCAACAGCACUGCGGCGAGAACGAUUGAUUAUCUAUCCAAGUCUCGAUCGAGAAGGAUUUCUGAAUCCUUGUUGGUCGAGGUCAUCUCAUCAGCCUUCUCGGCGAAGUGAGGUGUUACAAGUGACUACAUUCGGCACGUUGAAAGCCGAAUUUGAUAUUGAGCUUCGUAAAAAUGGUAACCUUGUCUUCAGGUUCGAGAGCCCAAGAGGCCGAGACGUGUUCCUUUCUCGGCCGCAAUCGCAAGACGCAGAAGUCAGUAGCGCGACCCAACGCAACAUCAACAAAUUUACUCCUCGGCCGAGCGCGGCCGACGAGUUGGCACGCCCUGCAUUCACCGAAGGACGUAGUUAGCUCAUUAAUUACUCGGCCUGCGCGCCACGUAGGCUUGGUAGUUUCUAGGGUCAACAUUUUGGCACGCCCAGUGGGACCCAGUGCUAAUACUACGAAGUUCAUAUGUUAUAUCAAGAUUCCAAUCUGGCUCAACGUAGCUGAUUGUACGAGCUCCUGGAGGAAUUGAAAAAACAUAAUGAGGAAUGCAAAAAAUCUUUGGAAGCAGAAAAAGUUCUUCGUGGCCAUAAAGAGAUGCAAAAGUCAUUCGCUUGCAUGGUGAAAAUAAAAGCUCCUGUUACCCUGCAUGGGUAAAUGAAGACAGGGCUCGAUUUAAUGCCUGGCUAGAUGAAGAACGUUUUCCUUACGUUUCUGAUUACAGAUCAAUUCCAUUUGAAAAAUGGUUAGGUCCAAAGGCCGGGGGGCAAUUUUUCGCUCCGGCCACAAUCAAAAUUCGGCCUCAAAAAAUUGUUAAGGCGGCCGAAGAAAUACUUAGGCCACCUGUUGUUUCGGUCGAGAUUCAAAGUGUGGUAGGCCUAGACGAAAAAGUUGAAGUUUCUGAGCUAAAAAUCGACUCAGAAAAUGAUUCGUCAGAAGAGUGCUCCAAUGACGAACAAGACCAAUACACGACUUCAAACCAUAAAAUCACAUCGAUUGAUAUGGUAAUUGAAGACAUAGGUCUAGCCGAAAAAAUCACGCCAAUUGAUCUGAUUAUUGGUGAUAAAGCCGAUAUGGAGAAAUCCCGUUCGGCUAAGUUGCUCGAGUUAAAAGCCGAAAUUGGUGAAAUAAUUAUGCCCAGGGGGCAUAAUACUUGUUCCACACAUUCGGCGGCUGAAAAUGCAAAAUAUUUUGCCGAGUCAAAAAUAUUUGGGAAAAAUUCUUUAUUCGGCCUAGAGCGAAAUCAAUUUGAAAAUUUUGAUGCAAAAAGAUCUUGGCUUGGAAUAAAACAUCGUUGGUCUCCUCCUGAUUAUGGUUCGGCCACUUUUAUUUUCGUUUGCUAAAAUAUUAAAUAAAUUAUUUUCUUAACUAUUCGGCUUUUUAGGCCGAUGCAUAAACAUAAAAAGGGGGUAGUAUUGUUUUGACCGAUUUGUGUUCGGAUUUAAGAUUUAUUCGGCAUAUAACAUAUCAUGCAGAAAUUAAUCAUGGCAUGAACUGUUCUAGCACGAAGUGUUACAAUUUGGCGUCAAAGCAGGAGUUGAAUCAUGGCAUCUGCAAUUAGAGUCUCGGCCAAAAGAGUGGUUGCCGAGCCAUUCAAUGCACCUGGGAUUGGUUUGGCCGAAUAUAUAUAUAUAAGAGUUUAGCCGAACUCUCGACUACCUUACAAAAGCCUCGGCCAAAGCUGCAUAUAUAUGAUUCGGCCAAAACUGUAUAUAUAUAUAUAUAUAUAUAUAGGAAUUGCUUAAGGGGAGGGAUCCCCAUUUUUUCAAAAAAAUGGGGACACACUCCCCACCGUUGGAUUUGAAUUAAAUGAAAUCCUGUGGUUGAGAUUCUAUGGCCUGUGUUUUAAUCUCAACCACACAAUUUCAUUAAAGUCAAUCUAACGGUGGGGAGCGUGUCCCCAUUUUUUUUGAAAAAAUGGGGAUCCCUCCCCUUAAGCUCCCUGUAUAUAUAUAUAUAUAUAUAUAUAUAUAAAGAAAAUGGGGAUUCUCGGCCACAACUAUAUAUAUAUAUAUAUAUAUAUAUAUAUUGGGGGGGUUGUUUUUAAUGAGGGCAUUAGAGACUCGGUGGACGUCAAAUCUUGGUCAAAUGAGUGGGUCUGAGUUUCAAUGGCCAUGUGGGGUCGAGGGUUCAUGAUUUAUCUUGGUCAUGAUAGAUGAGUGAUAUUCAAUUGGAGGAAUUCAGCACAGUAUUUUGCCGAAUAAGUUUUUAUUCGGCGGUGGUUUCUCCAAUAAUUCUCGGCCAUAUGUUUUUCUCGGUCACUCGGAGGUAGUCAGUCAUCGGUAUUAUUAUUGGUAAAUCAGUAUUAUUGGAUGAUCAGACUUGGUGCAUACAGCUGAGCUAUCAGGGAUAAGGCCGAGUAAUCAACCGAGCUACCAAGAAUUAGUCAUUGCUGAGCCUUGCAUAUAGAAUGAUGGCUACGAACAAUUAAUUUCCUUAAAUAUUCGGCUUAUGAGCCGAAGUUCAAGGAAAUUGGGGGGCAAUGUUUGGACUCAAAUUUACACCAUCGGCCCAUGUAAUCAAGGCCGUUGAGUGAGCAUAGUUCUCGACCGUCAGAUGGAAAAGUGAAGAUAUUUUUGUUAAAGGAUAAUAUUAUGAUUUUUUAUCAUAAUAAUUAUUUUUUAAUGAUGAAUUAUCUUGAUUUUUUCCUGGUACAAGAUGGAUGAGAUGUAAAUGUAGUUCAAUUUGAUUUGGGAUUCUUGGAGUUAAGACGCGUGGUGGAUUGGGAGCAUCAGAGCACGUUAUUAAGAGUCCUAAUACACUACUGCAUUGUUGGCAAAUGGAAAUUGGCAGAGAUAUUAAUGCUUGCAUAAAGAUGAAGAUGUUAAAUUGGAGAUGGAUAGCCACGUGUGAGUGGAUUUGGUGGAGCCAUGCAUGCAUAUCAUUAUUUCAAGUCAAGAUGCUUAUCGGCACUAAUUGGUAUAUGCUAAUAUGCUAUUAAUUAGCAAGAGGUGGUUACAUGUUGGUAAGUGAUAACAAUCUUUUUGCAUGAGAUUGUUAUGAAUGAGGACUUUGAUGUUGGCGGCAGCUUUACAACACGAGCCGUCAGGAUGAGGAUGAUACUUAUAAAUACAGAGUCGCAAACAACGGGUAGGACCCCUGCAAAUCAAUACAAAAUUGCCCUGCGCAAAUUCUCACAACUUGUGAUUUUUCUUUUUUCCUUUUUUCGCUGACACAUCUUCCGUUGGCAUCAACAACAGCACUGUGGAAGCAACCGGUGAUAUCUUAAGUCGGCAUAGAUAGCUCUGUCACCGUAGAAUCAGUCGGUCUCGCAGUAUCUUCCGUUGGCAUCAACAGCACUGCGGCGAGAACGAUUGAUUAUCUAUCCAAGUCUCGGUCGAGAAGGAUUUCUGAAUCCUUGUUGGUCGAGGUCAUCUCAUCAGCCUUCUCGGCGAAGUGAGGUGUUACAAGUGACUACAUUCGGCACGUUGAAAGCCGAAUUUGAUAUUGAGCUUCGUAAAAAUAGUAACCUUGUCUUCAGGUUCGAGAGCCCAAGAGGCCGAGAUGUGUUCCUUUCUCGGCCGCAAUCGCAAGACGCAGAAGUCAGUAGCGCGACCCAACGCAACAUCAACAAAUUUACUCCUCGGCCGAGCGCGGCCGACGAGUUGGCACGCCCCGCAUUCACCGAAGGACGUAGUUAGCUCAUUAAUUACUCGGCCUGCGCGCCACGUAGGCUUGGUAGUUUCUAGGGUCAACAGGGGCAUAAUAAUUGUUCAGCGCAUUCGGCAGCUGAUAAAAAAUCUUUCGUCAAGUCAAACAUAUUUGGAGAUAGUAUUUUAUUCGGCCUUGCAAAAAUUCAAAGUGAAAGUUUUGAUACAAAAAGCCUUCGGCUUGGAAUAAAACAUCGUUGGCCUCCUCCAUUUAUAGUAGGGCCACUUUUGUUUUCUUUUGCUACAAAAUAAGAAUAAAUUAUUUUCUUAACCAUUCGGCUUUUUAGGCCGAUGCUUAAGAAAAUAAAGGGGGCAAUAAGAUGGUGCGGACUUAGAAAAACAAGAAAAAACAAGAUGGUGUACUCGGCAGACAAUUUUGGUCAAAUAAUGGUGUAUUUGGCAGACAGUUUUGGUCGAAUGAAUUUGCGAGAGCAUGCAUGACAAUUGUUCGGCAGACAGUUUUGGUCAAAUGAAUUUAUGGGAGCAUGCAUGGUUGCGAAGCUUGCUCAAUUCAGUUUCGAUGUGCGGUUUAAUAUAUAUAUAUAUAUAUAUAUAUAUAUAUAUAUAUAUAUAUAUAUAUGUCAGAAUGACCCAUCACAUGAAACAGAAAGAGAGACGCAUACGGAAAAGACAAAGGAAUAUUCAUGAAGUUAUGGUAGGCUUCCAUAUGGGCUAACAUUUUCGUUUGGUGAUGUAGUGAUCUGUGAAUUCCUAACAGCAUUAUUUGGCCGAAUACAAAUCUUUGGCCGAAUAAAACAUAGUUCGGCCGAAUAGAAUGGGUUAUAUAUAUAUAUAUAGGCUCUACAGCCAGUUCUUCUCGGUCUCGGCCCCAUUUACUCUCGAUCCCAGUAUUUUUGACCGAUACUAGUGUUUUCUCGACCCCGACAGUUGAGAGUUGGAGUAGUUCACGACACUGGCAGAGGGAGGUUAUGACAUUGGCAGAACAUAGGUGAUUUUAAUACCGAGAGACAAAAUUUGUUUCGGCAAUACGACGAAGUGUUGUUGGCUACGAGCAAUUAAUUUCCUUAACCAUUCGGCUUACGAGCCAAAGCUCACGGAAACUGGGGGGCAAUGUUUGGACCUGAUUUUACACAUCGGCCUAAGCAAUCGAGGCCGUUGAGUAAGCAUGGUUCUCAACCGUUGGAUAAGAAAGUUUAGAUAUUAUUGUUAAGAGAUAAUAUUAUGAUUUUUAAUCAUAAUAAUUAUUUUUUUUAUAAGUUAUCCCGGUUUUUUAUGCAAAAUAAAUGGGAUGGAGGCAAGUAGAGUUGUGAUGGGGACGUGAGCUUUGAAUCAGGUUGGUUUGUUUUGCUGGACAUGCAUACAUGGGAUGUAAAGAUAAUGAAGUGAUAGGGGAUAAAUCCAAACAUGCCAAAACGUGUAAUUUGCAAAAGAAUUGUGCAAUAUGGAGAUUCUAUCCUAAUGCAUGGUUUUUUGGGUUUGGUUUUGUGCACGUGGCAUGUGACAAUGGAGAUGAUGGUUUUGCAUGGUGAUGGCAAUAUGGGUUUAAAGGUUUCUCAUGUUUUUUUAAUAAGAAGCCUAGGUGGGUUAGAUCUCUAGUGAGAUGUGAUAAAGCCUAGGUGGGUUAGAUCUCUAGUGAGAUGUGAUAAAGCCUAGGUAGGCUUUAUUUAUCUGAAGGAUAUGUGCGGCGUAUUUGAUACGGUAUCAGGGUUUAUCUGAAGGAUAUGCGCGGCAUAUUUGAUACGGGAUCAAGGUCAAUUCCACAAAAUAGAGUUGCAGUUGGACUCUACAAAAUUAUUUGGCCGCGUCACACAACAUUUGCUCCUAUAAAUACAAAGGUAGUGGCAACGGAAGAAAGACCCCUGCAAAUCAAUACAAAAUUGCCCUGCGCAAAUUCUCACAACUUGUGAUUUUUCUUUUUCCUUUUUCGCUGACACAUCUUCCGUUGGCGUCAACAGCACCGUGGAAGCAACCGGUGAUAUCUUAAGUCGGCAUAGAUAGCUCUGUCACCGUAGAAUCAAUCGGUCUCGCAGUAUCUUCCGUUAGCAUCAACAUCACUGCGGCGAGAACGGUUGAUUACCUAUCCAAGUCUCGGUCGAGAAGGGUUUCUGAACCCUUAUUGGUCGAGGUCAUCUCAUCAGCCUUCUCGGCGAAGUGAGGUGUUACACGUUAUUACGUUCGGCAUAUUGAAAGCCGAAUUUGAUAUUGAACUUCGUAAGAAUAGUAACCUUGUCUUCAGGUUCGAGAGCCCAAGAGGCCGAGACGUGUUCCUUUCUCGGCCGCAAUCGCAAGAUGCAGAAGUCAGCCGCGCACCCAACGCAACAUCAACAAAUUUACUCCUCGGUCGACGAGUUGGCACGCCCCGCAUUCACCGAAGGACGUAGUUAGCUCAUUAAUUAUUCGGCCUGCGCGCCACGUAGGCUUUGUAGUUUUUAGGGUCAACAGUCACAUUUCAGGUGUCGGCUAACACUACUUAUUUUCGGUGUCCACUUGAAUAUAUGGGUCAGGGUGUGUCAUAAUGAACGCAGGCGAGCAUGGAUUCGCAACGGGGGUUCAAAAUCAAGUAGAUCCGAAUUGAAUCUCACAAAAACCCGACUGGAUUAUCAUCGGGAAGACUGUAGGCUCUCGAGGAUGGGUGGUUUCACCAGAAAAUGGUCAAACAAGGCCGGGGACAGGGACGACGCAAAAAUGGCAUCAUUUGGUCCUAGGGUUUCAGAAUAAGAGCAGCUAGGCUCCUUGUGGCUUGCGACGCAGCUUGGCGACUCGGCUUACACGCUUCAGGUCGUGGCUCGCGCGGGAGGUUGCAGCAACCCUAAUUUUCUUCUUUCUUUCUGUUCUCACACAAUCAUUAAUUCACCACAACAACAUAUAAGCAAAAUAAUAUUAUAAUUCGAAAAGCAUAAAAUUGGGUUCAUGCACUAUGUUGAAGAUUUCAUGCAAUUAGAGCUGGAAAAAAAAUCAAAAUUGAAACCGUAUUUUAGAAGUUACUUAGAUUGUAUGAUCAAAAUUUUGAGCUGUUUUGUAGCAGAAAAUAGCCUCUAGAUUCAUAGCGCAACGUCUAGAGUGUGCUGAUAACAUUUUGUUUCAUAUUUUACUAAAAGAAAGGGAAAUGGUGUGGUGAUAGUGGUGGAGAAAAAGACUCGGAAAAAUUGGUGUAUGUUCCCUUGUGCCAAUGCCUUUAUUUAUAGUAAACAGAAAGAAGAAGCAAACUUGCUCACCAAAAACACAUAGUCUAAUAGAAAAAAAAAAUCAUCUAAAUUACAUAGAAAUCCUAAUUCAAAUCUACCAAAAUUUACCGAAUUAUACUACAUCAAUAUUAAAUGUAACAAUAUUGACUAUGAUCCUACAGUUUUAUUUGCCAGUGUAUGUCUUUUAGCUAGCUUUAUAAUAACUUAUCAAUUUGAAUUUUUUGUCCCAACAAGUAAGCUAAUAUAUAUUAAAAAAUUAGUAUGUGUACACACACAAGAGAGCCAUAUAGUCUUUGGUCUUAUUGUCUCAAAAGUCAGAAGAGAAGACCCGAAGAACGAGCACUCCUCCAUAGUCCACAUUUCUCUACGGUCAUAUUCGGCGGACAAAAUUCUAUGCUCCAACGUCUUCGCUCUCCUUUUUUUUUUUUUUUUUUUUUUUUUUUUUUUUUUUUUUUUUUUUUUUUUUUUUUUUUUUUUUUUUUUUUUUUUUUUUUUUUUUUUUUAGCAAAUGAUAUUAUUUAUAUUAAAUGAUUGAGAUAACAUGUCAAAUUUCACACGUAACUAGCUAUAAUAAUGUUAUUUAAAUUCAUCUUUGACGAGAAUUGAAACUAAGACCUUACUUAUAAGUGAAAAUUAAUAUCAUUAACUCGUAGUACUAAAUAACACUUUAAUCUUUAAAAUUUACAAUCAAACUAGAUUUUUUUUCUCCUUUCUAUAUCCCGUGUUCCAAUUUCCACAUCCACACUUACAAAGUCGUACACGAUGACAUAGCACCAUACCCAUAUAUGGCAUUUGAUGUUUCUAGUCCUCGACUAACAUGAAACGUACAGUCGAUUCUUUCCCUUAGUCCCACUAGUCACAUGUGAUUCCUAUUCUUUUAUAAACAACUUUUUUUUAUUUAUUUUUUUUCAGCCAAAGAAGUUAAUUAAAAUUUUCAAACUGAAAAAUUAUUUAAUCAAUUACAAUAGCAUAAUAUUCAAACUGGAAUUUUUUUUUUUUUAGAGAAUGAUUUUCUACUCAAGAGGUGUGGGGAUUGAACCAUGCCACAUAAGGGGUUAGCUCUUAACUAAAUAUCAAACUCAACUCGAAUAUAAUACAUCAUCGCGAUCCAUAUGAGCAAAACCUGAGACGACUCACUUGAAAAUAGAGAUAAUUAUCACUAAAUCAUAGUACUAGCUGGUCACUUUAAUACAGUACUCACACUUGUAGGCUUUGGCUACACUAGCAUCAAUUAACUCUUGAUAUAACGUAAUUUUACUUCUUAAUAUUAUUCCCAAUUGAUUAACAAAACUACUAUAACAAAAACAAAUAAUAUAACUAAAAUAUGGACUUACGAAAAAUAAAAGAAAAUGAUUUUCGUACAAUUUUCCUCACUCUACGCAUCUCUAUUUAUUUUAAUCUAUCGAUUCUCAUUUAUUUCAUUUAAUUCAAAUACUAGAAAUAAAGUGGCAUUAAGACUAAGAAGGUACAAAUCCCAUCAGCUCAUGGGCAUUAGUGGAAUUUCGCCCUUCUUUAACUGCAUUGUCCCUCCAUAUGCAAGUUAAUUUCACGCGGAUACAAACCCAAUACUUAACUAAGCAACAACAGGCCCACAUUUGACCAACAACUAAUUUAGUCGUAUUUACAUACACACCCCUGUCCCACCACCACCAAGUCAAAACGACGACGUCACCUUCGUCCUCAAAAACUCCUCCAACCUCCACUUCCUUCCAAAACACAACAAACUCAAACCUCUCCGUCUGAGAAACUCUGGAGCACCAAACAAUCAACUCGCCACUAAAAAUGGGGAGGGAGCGGGACCAUCUCUACAUCACCGUUCCCAACCUCUUCCGCUGCCCCAUCUCCAUGGACGUCAUGCGCUCCCCCGUCAGCCUCUGCACCGGCGUCACCUACGACCGCGCCAGCAUCCAGCACUGGCUCGAAUCCGGCCACGACACCUGCCCCGCCACCAUGCAGAUCCUCCAGUCCAAAGACGUCAUCCCCAACCUCACCCUCCGCCGUCUCAUCAACCUCUGGGCCCAGUCCCACGGCCCUUCCUCGCCGGCCUCCUCUCCCUCUCUCUCCUCCCAGCACCUCGCCUCCCUCGUUCAAUUUCUCCGCAAUGAGAACGAGACUGAGAAAUUCAGCCAAAAUAUCGUAAACUCAUUGUCGAAGACUGCCGAUUUCGCGAGGGUCGGCGAGGAGAACCGGAGGUUUGUGGCGAAUUUCGACGGCUUCGUCUCCGCCAUUGUGGGGAUUCUGAACAGAGAAGGCGUCGAAAUCGAAGUUCUCGAAUCGGUAAUUAAGGUUUUGGAUUCGAUUUUGCCUCAAAGCGGAGUCAACGAGCAAUUGAGCCGAUUUAUUGCGAAGAGCAACGGCAAUUACCUCGCUUCAAUUCGAUUGGUACUGCAGAAAGGAAGCCUGAGCUCGAAGAUCGAAUCCGUCAAGGUUUUGGAUUCGAUCGCGCUCGACGCCGAGUCGAAACGAUUAAUCGCGGAGAAGGAAGGCUUAUUGUCCGUAUUCAACGAUCUGUUGAGCUUGGAAACGUGUCAGGACCUAUACGGCGCCGUUUUCUCAUGCUUAGCAUCAUUGUCCGUGAAUCGGUCGAUUAAAGCCGAGCUCGUCCGGUUCGGACUAGUCCGAGUUGUAACGUCAACGCUGCUAAAGCCGGACACUAGCACUACCCUUGCGGAGAAGUGUUUGAAGCUGUUAUCCACCAUUGCCACGUGCGCCGAGGGCCGGUCGGCGAUCAGCGGGGAGGAGAAGUGCGCGGAGGCGGUGGCGGAGAGGCUGAUGAAGGUGUCGAGGGGGGCGACGGAGGACGGCGUGGCGGUGCUGUGGAGCGUGUGCUGCAUGUUGGGGGACAAGAGGGCGAGGGAGAGCGUGGCGGGAGGAAAUGUGGUGGCGAAGGUGUUGUUGGUGAUGCAGAGUGGGUAUGGAGAGGGGCAUUUUGUGAGGAGGAUGUGUGGGGAUUUGGUCAAAGUUUUGAGUGUUGGGUUAGGGUUGGGGUUGAGGUAUGACACCAAGACUAUACAUAUCAUGCCUUGUUAGAAAUUGUUCAUGAUGAUAAUCUUGCUCAUUUAUUUUUUUUUUGGAAAUUGUGAAUUUGGAUAAAAAAUUUUAUAGAAACAAAAAGGAAAAUUCUUUUUAGUUUUGUAGUCAUUGAUCAUCAUUAUGUGAUUGAUGUUGUAUGAUUAGUAGAGAUAUUUUUGUGUGCUGUGAACAUGACCCGGUAUAUUAAGAAUAGUAUUACAAUUCGUUGGAAACUUUAAAAAAAAAAUUCCAAGAAAUUGUAUGUGCUGUGUUUCCGGAAAAAUUUCUUGGGUUUGUGGGGAUGUGAAUAUGCAAAAUUAUGUUGAUAAGAUGGCUUAAGUGAUUAAAAGAAUGAAGAAAUAAACAACUUUUUGUUAAUCUCAUGUUAAUCUUCUUUUUUGAUUUGUUGUUUCUUUUAUUGUUAAUUCAGAAAAGUUUCAUGAUGAAUUUGUUUGGACUUUGAAAAAGGAUUAGGGACAAGAAUCCAAUCCAUCGUAAAAGGGGCAAGUUUUGAUAUGAUUUGCAAGUUAUAACUUGUUAAGUAAGAGAACGUAAGGAGAUCUAUUGUAUACUUGGGUAAAUUUAAUUGGUCUUAAGUUCAAAUUUAUUUCUAAGUAAUUUUGGAGUAAUUGUGAUCAAAUAGUUGUAUGCUUUUUUUUAGAGUGGACUUACAAGUCACAGUUGUAUUGCCUCAACUACGUUUUAUACCAAUAAUACAAUACCAUGCAGAGAAAUUUACACAUAAUGUUGUAUAUUUGGCAUGAGACUAUCUUAGUGAAAAUGUAUCCAUGCCAUAGAAGUCGUCCUCUCUUUUGUGGGUGAGGUAGUUCUGGGCAAUGAACCUGUAUGAAAAAAUAUGAGUUGUUGAGCUAUGCACGAGUGUCAAACGUAACAUGGCUUAUUUUCGUAUCCCUGGUAAACAAACUACAAAAUCGUUGCUCUUAGAACAGUAUGUGUUUAAUUUCAAAAACGAGACAAAAAUGAUUGUAAAGAAAAAACACUAAAUAAGGAGACAAAUUCAGGCUAGUUUGCGUUCGAAUUUUACAGGGUAAGGCAACAACUUGGCUGUAGUAGGCAUCUGGUUUGCAAAAAUCCAGCAGAAAACAAUUGUAUGGACAACAAAUUGCGAUGCUCCGAUGCGACUCUCUAACAAUGUAAAGCUGUUUUGAAGUGGUGAAGGAACAAGGGUCAUGGCGCCAGAUAACCGAGUUGUAUCAGCAACCAUUUUUAUGAGCCUGCUGCCUCGGCUUCCAUGCUCGAUUCUGGUAACUUUGUCAUCUACAACUCGGACUCAAAUAUCAUUUGGCAGAGUUUUGAUACUCCAACCGAUACCAUUGUAUCUGGCCAGCGAUUGCUGGCUAGAAAGAAGCUUGUCUCCAGCAUCUCCGACACAAAUCAUGCAAGCGGAAGAUUUAGACCUUCAAUGUAGCGUGAUGGGAACCUAGAGAUGUACCUGGAGUGUCCAAUUAUAUUACAACCUGAUUGAUCGGUAUGCUUACUCAAAUAGUGGGACGUACAGGGCUGGAGACAAUGAGUCACUCAACGUUGAUCACAAUGGACAGUUAUAUCUCCUCAGUUACAAUAUAAGGAACGCUACGAAUCAGAAAGAGCUGUUUGACACACACACGUAUGUACCACAUGAUGAUUGACUUUGAUUGUAUUACUCCAGUUAUACUUCCAUACUAUUUAUAUUUAAUUUUAAAUUUUAAAUGAUUUUUAACCGCACGAUAUACAUGAACGGACAUAAUUAUGGGAUCCUCCAAAUUCCUGAGAAAAGGACGUCGAACAAGAAUCUUUGGUUGCUCCAUUGUCUCAUUUGACGGACUGAAAUAACGGAGCUAACAAACUGUAAGUACAAAGGACGAAAGUGAAAAGAAAAAGGCUAAAGGGAGGUAAGUGAUAAUUCGAUUUAAACUAACGGGACCAUGAGUGCAAUCUGACUCGCUCCUUAACUUGGAAAAGCCAACCAGGGCGUUCCAAGUGUGAUGAUGAACACGUGCCGAAACACCAUUGGAUUCUGGAGGGGAACCAGUGAGGCCUCCCGCAGCAAAGCCACACAAAAUGAUACACAAGCGAUCUGAGUCGUCGGCGAGGAUCCUUUUCCGUGAAAAAUCGAUCGAAGAAGCAAAGGCAGGUCACUGAAUAAAGAAAUAAAAACACAGAAGCUGAAGCUGUUGCGGGAAAAAGCUUGACCAAAUCAGGGUUCCCGAAUUCGAAUCGCCAACGAGGUUAACCAGAUUAGGGUUUUAACAAAAUUUUUAAGUUACUUUUACCAUGUUGUAAUUGCUUAAUUUUUUUUGCUGAAAUUCAGAAAUUUGCAGGAAAACUGAAAUGGGGGACGGCCUAUGGAACCGCCAGCAGCAGCAGCAGCAGCAGCAUCAACUGGGUCCCUCUGGCGGCGUGCAUAAACGACCUCGUUCCGACUACGGUAACUCCUCUGUGGCCAUUUCUCAUAGUUUUUUUCUUUAAUUAGAUGAAAUUGCGAUUGCAUUCGUUUGCAUUAUAGAUUUAGUUGUCAAACCAUUUAAUUUCUGACUUCUUGUUUAUAAUUCGAGCGAUAUUAUAAUCUAAUCGAAACUAUGGGGAGAGGGGGAUUCGAACUUGGGUGCAGAUGGGGAGCACACUGCUCGAGCCAACUUAGCUAGGCCAAAGUCUGCUUCUUCGUGUUAUAAGUGUUUUUACUUUAGUGGUUCUUGAUGGGUUUCGGGUUUCAAUGUAAAUUAUGUUUCAAAGUGGUGAAAUUUAUGUGAAGGGUCAAGGGUAUCUAGACAAAGGAUUCCAGUUCAGUUGUCUGAUGACUCUGCUUGUAUGUAUCUCCCCUUACUCUAGUAGAUAUGCAGAUUCUGGUUUUGUAGCUAGGUGUCUCUUUUCUUUUCUUUUAUAAAAAUUACAAUAAAUGUUUUGCUUCCAUAGUUCCAUGUGUACUCUUACAUCUUCGGGGUCUUCUUGAAGCAUAUAAUAUAGUCUUAGCCUAUCUGUUCCACUUACUACAAUUGCGAUCAACACUCAUACUCGUAUGAUUCCAUAUAAUAAUGUAUCUUCCACGAAAGCUUUACUAAGCAUAUGAUUUCUGUUAUUAUUUUCUUUGUAACCAGAUCACAGUUUUUGGCCUUCAUGUUUCCUUCGGUCCAUUGUUAAUGAUAUUAUUUACUGGAUUUCAUAUUUAGAGCAACUUUUGAAUGAUUUCCACAUUAGCGGUAGUUUUAGAAGUUACUGGUUGUUAUUAAGUUAUGUUCAAGGGGGGAAAACCUUGUUCGGUGUGUUUGCUAAGACCUGUGUGAAAAUGGAAACUACUACAAAAUCAUUCAGGUUUCCAAUUACAUUGCAAGGUACUUAAGAAUGGAUCUUUUCCUGAACCCAACCAAACCCCAAACCUCUGAAAUUAUCAAGUAGAUUCUUUCCUUUUAGUGCGGUCAGUCUUCCAAUCUAAUACUAUUCUUCAAUAAUUAUGGUAAUAAGAUCCUCCAUACAUAUUUAUAAUGCAAUUAUGUUUAUAUACAAAUUGAUGCAUAUUAUUGGUAUACAUUUUGAUAUAACCAAAUUCCCCUUUUUUUUCAUUUAGUUAUUUGUUUGCUGAGUUGUUCUUGUUAUAACUUCUUAGUCACUGAUCAAAAGCCUAGACUUGUAUAUUGUAUGUAGAUGUUUUGAUUGGUAUGUUUUCUUUGUACUUUUGAACAUUGGUGGCAGUUUUACUUGUUCAAAUACCACCUAGUUGUUAGUAGUGAUAUUGUUCAUUCCGCACCUUGGGUCUAACUCUGCACAUUAAAGAGUAGGUUUUUACCUUGUUAAUUGACGGGGCAUACUCUACUUCCACCUCAUGCUUCUCAAUUGGUUUCUUGAUUUAAGUUCUUCCAUCUGCUUUUUUAUUUUUUAUGCCUUUUCUCUUGUUCUAUAGUUGUAAUAUAUACAGCUGAAUUAGGGUCUAUUUGUUAAUGUUUUCUCAAUGUUGUGCCUUUAAAUAUAGGUAAAUUAUGCGCUUGGUGCAUUAAGUUUGUUAAACAUGGGAAACAUAUUCUGUAAAAUGAUCUCAACUUUUGUUCUUCAAGUUAGGAAACAACCAUUCCACUAUUUAUGUUGUUUUCAGGGGGAUUGUGAAACAUGGUGAGUAGUUAGAAACAAAAAAAGGAACCUUUCAACUGGAAUAAAUGUUUCUGUCAUCCUCAGAGGCUCUGUUGUUGGUCCUCACUUUUCACGUAUAUCUGCUCUCAAAAACCUAUACCAAAAAACCAAACACCCUAUCGCCUCUCUCUUCCUUUCUUUCUCCAUCUCUCUUUGCCUCCUCAUCUCUCCCACUUUCUCUCUACACCCUCAAAACCUGCACUCCAGCCCCACUCCGAACGCCUGACCCAUUCAUCGAAACCAAUAUGUGGAACCUCUUCUCAACCUCCCCCGCCCCCGCCCCCGCAAUGUUGUCGUCUCGUCUCUGAUUUGAAAACAUUUGGUUGUGGGUUGUUUUCAAUAUAAUAAGUUGGACGUGAAUAAUUGUUAGUGAUAAAUUUGGAUGGUAGAGUUUGGUAUUAUUUCAAUUUAAACUGGAGUGGUCAAGAAUUUGGUAGAACUUGUAAAAUGGAGAAACUGAAGAUGGUGAAUCAGACUUGGUUUCAGUUUAAACGGGGAUAGUUAUACCGUACUUGUAUGGGAUAUAGAGCGAUGUUGGAUGCAGCUUUAUUUUAUUGUAUCGGUUUUGUUUUGGUGUCGGAAUGGUUAUACUGUACUUGUAUCUGUUUCUUUAUCUCGUUUUGGUGUUGCUUUAUUUUUUUAUUGCUUUUAAAUCUGAAAUGGUUAUACUGCACGUGUAUUGGAUAUAGGUCUGAUGUUGGAUGUUUAUUGAUAUGAAUGUUCCAUUUAAUAGGGCUCUAACUCACAAUGGUUUUGGUUAGCUUUGAUGCGGGCAUGGGAUAAAUCAAUUUCACUAUUGUGCCGUUUAAAAGGGCUCUUAACUCACAAUGUUUUAAUAUAUUUGUUUGGUUCAUUGAUACGUCUUGUCAAAAUGUGUUUACAUUAGUUACGUGUUUGAACUUUGAUUAUAAUAUUUAGUUGAAAAUAGUUUUUCAAAAUAUUGCUGCCUAAUACAAAUUCAGUAAUUUAAUUUUUUUCUCAUACUAGCACUGAACACAUUUUCACUGUUUUUGUUUUUAGAAACAUUUUUUCAAACUAUUCUACCAGAUGCAUUAUCUAAUGUUAAAUUACAAGAAUGUUAUAUCAUUUUCAUUUUCUGAAAGGUUUUUAUGCAGAUGGUUUUGUAAAACAUCACCUGAUAGGCUCUUACUUUUCUGUAUUGUCAACCUGUCUUCAGGUCAAGAGAUGCAUGGUUAUUUUGCGCGAGAGGAUGAUCUUGGUGGUCCUAGGACUGUAAAGGAUAACAGAUCAAUCGGAUCAGCAUAUGACCGUUAUCUUCAGAAUGCGGUGACUUUCUUAAGCAUUUGAAACUAUGCCUAUUAUUAUUUGUGUUACAUCUCUCUGUUUCUGUACUAAAACAUUUGUCCUACUUGCUUCUAAAGGAAAUGGCUUCGUACACUUCUGGAGAAGCGAGUACUUUUGGUGGAGCUGGAAUGGGAAGGGCUGUUGGUGGUGGAAUGACAGGUCCUCCAAUGGCUGAUCAUUCUAUGAGGGGCCGUCCUGGAGCUAUGUCUUCUGAUGUACUAACAAAUGGUCGAAAUAUGAAUCUUGCUAAUCAGCUCCCAGUUGAUUCAAUGCCUAGGCCUGGACGUGAAACAGUUCCUUUACCUCUGGAUGCAUCCAGCACUUUAUAUGUUGAAGGACUUCCUCCUGACAGCACAAGGAGGGAAGUAGCUCGUAUCCUUUAUGAUGCUUAAGAAUUAUUGCAUAUUGCUUUCCAAUCUUAUUGUUUAACUCAAUAGUUUUUCCAUCGCUCCUCCUUUACAUAACUCUUAAGAUAUCUUUCGUCCUUUUGUGGGAUACAAAGCAGUGAGGCUUGUGAGCAAAGAGUCCAAACACGUAUGUGGGGGUGGAUUAUUGUAAACAAUUACUUUUCUUAGUCAUUCUGUUUUUCUUGAUCACUCUGACUUGAGAUUGUCGUUGUGCUACUUGGUUCGACUCUUGGGAAGUUUAUAAUCUUUCUUCACACUAAUAUUCCGGUUUGUCCAUAAUGCAGCGUGGCGGGGAUCCUCUUAUUCUUUGUUUUGUGGAUUUUGAAAAUCCAGCCUGUGCAGCAACUGCUCUGAGUGCCUUGCAAGGUGAUUGCUUUUUAUUGUCAUCAACCUUGGUGACUAUCAGUGUCAAAGAAAGCUUAAUUCUUUCUUUCUGUUUUUAUUUGUUUCCUUUAUAGCUUCACAAGUGUUAUUUUCUAUCAUACCUUAUUCAAUCAUGUAAAGGGUAAAUUUAUGUUAAAAUUCUUCCAUGCAUAGUAGGUGUAAAGAGGUUGAGGCAGUUCAUAAAAAUGUUAUAGAUGGCUUCUUGUGAUUUAAUAUUGGAGUUCAUAAUAUCUCUACACUACAUAUCGUGUAGAACUAGCUGGAUUGCUCAUUAUUUUCCCAUGUUUGUUGUUUUUGAAAAGCUGGAAGAUGCUGACAUUUGUGUUGCUGGAAGAUGCUGACAUUCAUGUAAUUCCAUGCAUAGUGUUUUAGUAUGUGUAAAGACGUUGAGGCAGUUGAAAAAAAAAAUGUUAUAGAUGGUUUCUUGUGAUUUAAGAUUGAAGUCCAUAAUAUCUCUACACUCCCGAUUGUGUAGAACUAGUAUUGCUCAUUAUAUUUUCCCGUGCUCGCGGUUUUUGAAACGCUGGAAGAUGCUUACAUUUGUGUUGCGUUUGCAGGUUAUGAAAUGGAUGAACAUGCUCCUGAUUCUAAUUACUUGCGGCUGCAGUUUUCUCGGUUCCCUGGUCCUAGGUCUGGACCUGGCCGUAACAAGAGGUGAUAGGCAUUAGGUGAUGAGAAAUAUCUGUUUUUGAUGUAAUCAAGAUUGCAUUUGCUUUUAAUACAUUCCAUAUAUAUAUAUAUAUAUAUAUAUAUAUAUGUAUUGCUCAGGCUUGGGCACACACCAACUGUAAGCACUUCUGAUGCACAUUGUUGUUUCGAGGUAGUGAAUCAGAAACAGUUUUAUAGUUGUGCAAUUAAACAGAGAUCUGAUUUUGCACGUCCAUGGUCUACAAAAUUUGUAAGUGUUUUUAGAAGUGGCAAGUUUCUCAGGCACAAACCCUUUAAAAACUAGUGUGUUUUUUUAGCAUGGAUUUGCAGGCUUCUGUUACAUAUAUCAUAUGGUAAGUGAUUUCCGCUCGCUUUUUCUCCUUGUACAACUCCUUUUUUCCUAGUUUAAGGGUUGGAUAAAUCAAAUCAAAGGAGAAUAAGUGGAAAGAAACAUAAGGUGAAUGCAGGAGGAGAAAAUGGGAACGUGCCGAUGACUACCGAUCAAACUCGUCUUUUCUUGUAACUUCCAACUGCAUGGAGAAAAGCAAGACACUGCGUGAUGAGAAUGGGCAUUGCAUGGUGUCAUGUCUUGUGGUGUUAGAAAUUUGAUCCGAGUCCUUCCCAUUUGGACUACAGUUAAGGACAGGCUCUACUAUGUCCUCCCAAUGCUAAGCACUAGGUAGUGGGCUGCCGACUAGUCUAUGUGCCACUGUACAUAUCACAUGGGCUUUCAACCCAUAAUCCUAUCCUGCUAGAGCUUCCCCCUACCCUUCUUGAAAUUAGUAUACCGUCAGGUAUGUUGCUGUCUCUCAUAUCACGUGACUAAUGAUUCGUUUGGAAUUACUUCUUUCAGAAACACUUAUACUACAAGUGUUUUUAUUGUAGACACGUUAAAUCUUUACAAACAAUCCAAGUGUUCAUUGAAAAAUAUUUGAAAGUGCUUCUUGAAAAAGCAUUUGGCAAGUGCUCCUCUAAAGAUAGUUUAUACGAGUCAAAAGAAUUUCUAAUAUUUUAUCUUUAUGCCAAUCGCAACAGAACACAUUUAGCUUUUCCAGAAUCAAUCCUAAACUAGUUCUAAGCAAAGAAAGGGCAAUAUAACAUAAGGACAACGAAGAAUCUCUCUAACAUUAAAGGUUAUGUUUGUUCGGUCACUAGACUCAAACAAAAGAGAAAAGUAGAAGUGGGCAAUAAAUUGGUUUUCGAUUACCAUCAAAUUGGCACAACAUUCGGCAUUGUUUCGCAAAAGACUGCUUUUUUUUCUUAGCAUUAGUUUUACACACACUCUAGUGUGUGGUAAAAACAAGCUAGGGUUUGGUUGGAGAACAAGUCUGAGCAGUUACAUGCCAUGUGGGCUGGAGGGUUUCGUUUGGUGCCAUUACUCUUUUUUCUUGUUCUAUCAUCCUUGUCGAACUGGAAGAGAAAAAGGAGGGGAAAAGGGAGUUUAGGGCAAAAAGGAUACUGAGUUUAUAAACCAGGAAAUGUCUAAGCAAUUUGUUUGUGCCAACGUGACUGUUAUCUAAAUAUAGCGUACUUGUGGUAUAAAAGAAAAAGGCAAAAAGGGUAACUGUAAAUAGUUGUUGUACUUAAGUGUAAAUUGUCCCACAACUUGUCCAGGGACCAGUGCAUAUAAGUUGUAGCUGCAAGUGCAAGGAGCAACCUCUGGAUUAGAUAGACGGAUGGACUUGGUUUGGUAUGAUUCCAAGUCGUCGUUGAUGUUUCUUCUUCUUUGUGGCCCAGCCACCCAGGACUAUAGUCCUUAUUUGGUAGGUAUUUAUUGCAAGGCUAACUAUAGGAUUGGAGAUAGACAAAGGGAGAUGGGACAUGGAGAAUGGUUUGCCAAGUUUGUUUAGAAUGGAUCGGGAUCAAUGCCCGUUGGAUCCCUAGUAAUUGAAUAUUAGUUAAAGAUUCAACGUCUAUGAAUCUCGGUCUAUGUUAUGAACUGUUUUUACAAUUUUCGUUCAUUGUGUAUCACGUAAUAUGCAUAAUGUUAGACAAUCCACUUGUUUUAUUUGAGACAACUGUAUUUGAUGCACUUCCUAAUUUCUGUUUUCUGACUUGCUUCAAUCUACAUUCUCUUGAUAUUUUUUUUUCCAUUUUACUCGGUUUUAUGAUAGUGAGAACAUUCAACAUGGCCUCUUCUUCCUCAAGUUGCUUCUUUGUGAUACGUAUAUCUGUUUUUGUACUAAAACAUGUAUCCUACUUGCUUUUAAAGGAAAUGCCUUCGUACACUUUUGGAGAAGCGAGUACUUUUGGUGGAGCUGGAAUGGGAAAGGCUGUUGGUGGUGAAAUGACAGGUCCUCCAAUGGCAUGAUCAUUCUAUGAGGGCCAGUCCUGGAGCUAUGUCUUCUGAUCUAUUAACAUAUGGUCGAAAUAUGAAUCUUAUUAAUCAGCUCCCAGUUGAUGCAAUGCCUAGGCGUGGACGUGAAACAGUUCCUUUACCUCUGGAUGCAUCCAGCACUUUAUAUGUUGAAGGACUUCCUCCUGACAGCACAAUGAGGGAAGUAGCUCGUAUCCUUUAUGAUCCUUCUAUGAUGCCUAAGAAUUAUUGCAUAUUGCUUUCCAAUCUUAUUGUUUUACUCAAUAAUUUUUCAAUCGCUCAUCCUUUACAUUACUCUUUAAGAUAUCUUUCGUCAUUUUGUGGGAUACAAAGCAGUGAGGCUUGUGAACGAAGAGUCAGGUUUGUCCAUAAUGCAGCGUGGCGGGGAUCCUCUUAUUCUUUGUUUUGUGGAUUUUGAAAAUCCAACCCAUGCAGCAACUGCUCUGAGUGCCUUGCAAGGUCAUUGCCUUUUUCUUUUCAUCAACCUUGGUGACUAUCAGUGUCAAAGAAAGCUUAAUUCUUCGUUCUGUUUUUAUUUGUCUCUUUAAAGGUUUGUAAAUUUUUUUUCUAUCGACCUUAUUCAACCAUGUAAAUGGAAAAUUUAUGUUAAAAUUCUUCCAUGCAUAGUAGGUACAAAGUGGUUGAGAUAGUUCACAAAAAUGUUAUGGAUGGCUUCUUGUGAUUUAAUAUUGGAGUCCAUAAUAUCUCUACACUCCAGAUCGCGUAGAACUAACUAGAUUGCUCAUUAUUUUCCCGAGCUUGUUGUUUUUGAAACGCUGGACGAUGCUGACAUUUGUGUUGCGUUCGCAGGUUAUGAAAUGGAUGAACAGGCUCCUGAUUCUAAUUACUUGCGGCUGCAGUUUUAUCAGUUCCCGGAUCCCAGGUCAAGACCUGGCCGUAACAAGGGGUGAUAGGCAUUAGGUGAUGAGAAACAUCCGUGUUGAUGUAAUCAAGAUUGCAUUUGCUCUUAUACAUUAUAUAUAUUGCUCAGGCUUGGGCACACACUAAUUGUAAGCACUUCUGAUGCACAUUGUUGUUCUAGGUAGUGAAAUCAGAAACAGUUUUAUAGUUGUGUUGAACGAUCUGAUUUUGCACGUCCAUGGUCUACAAUUUACUCAAGGAAUGUUUUAAUUCUGAAUUGAGAUUGUACUGUGCAUAGACUACCGCAAAAUUAGUACAGAGAUAGUUUCCCUAUAGAUUGUUUUCAUAUACUAGAGGACUUCCAUGGCCAGGGUAUCUUGCCACCAUAUUGUCCCCGUACAUUUUCCCUCCAUAUUAGUUAUAUAUUUAUCUGGACAUUCUAACCUAAUGAAGUCCUACAAUCAUCAUAACUCAUUUUACUUAGCUCAUGCUCCUUACAAUAUUUGAUGAACUCACAUAAGAAACUCAUAGAAAUUUGUUCCCAGUCAUUACCUUUGGACUGCAGUUGAAGCUUAUGAUACAUCCUCCCAAUGCUAAGCACUAGCUAGUGGGUUGUCGACUAAUCUAUGCCACCGUACACAUCGCAGGGGCUUUGAACUCUGUCUCAAUUAUUGUAAAGACGUUAGCCUCUUCAAUGAAAGAACCCAUAGUCCUAUGCUGCUAGAGCUCCCCCCACCCUUCUUGGAAUUAAUAUAGUGUUAGGACAUAUCGCUCUAUUUCUCACAUCACGUGACUAAUGAUUUCUUUGAAGUUACUUCUUUAGGAAACACUUAUACUACAAGUGCUUUUAUUAUAUAGAAUCUUUAUAAGCAAUCCAAGUGUUCAUUGAAAACGUAUUUGAAAGUGCUUCUUGAAAAAGCAUUUGGCAAGUGCUUCUUGAAAAAGCAUUUGGCAAGUGCUUCUAUAAAAGAGCUUAUUGGGUCAAAAGAAUUUCUAAGUUUUUUUUUCUGCCAAGCACAACAGAAUACACAUUUUAGCUUUUUCCAGAACCAAUCCCAGACAAGUUCUAAGCAAAGAAAGGGCGAUACAGCCUGAAGACAACGGAGAAUUUCCCUGACGUUAAAGGUUUUGUUUGUUCGGUCACUAAACCCAAAAAAAUAGAAAACUUGAAGUGGGCAAUGAAUUGGUUUUCGAUUUCCAUUAAAUUGGCACAACAUUCGGCAUUGUUAUGCAAAAAUAUACUUUUUUCUUAUCAUUAGUUUUACACACACUCUAGUCUGUGGUAUAAAAUGAGCUAGGGUUUGGUUGGAGAACAAGUCUACGUGGUAUCAUCACUUACAUUACAUGCCAUGUGGGCUGGAGGGUUUCAUUUGGUGCCAUUACUCCUUUUUCUGUUCUAUAAUCAUUUUGGAACUGGAAGAGAAAGUGGAGGGGAAAAGGUAGUUUAGGGCAAAAAUUUUCCAAUCAAUUUUUUGGCAGUGUGACUGUUUUCGAAAUAUAGAGUAGUUGUGGCAAAAAAGAAAAAGGAAAGGGGUAAUUGUACAUACACAUUGUUCCAAAGGGUCAGUUGUCCCACAACUUGUCAAGGGACCAGAGCAUUAAGUUGUAGCUGCAAGUGCAAGGAGAAAGUUGUGGAUUAGAUAGACCAAUGGAUUUGGUUUGGUUUAAUUCCAAGUCAUCGUCGUUUCUUCUUCUAUGUGGCCCAGCCGCCCAGGACUUUAGUCCUUAUUUGGCAGGUACUUAUUACAAGGUUAGAUAAAGGGAGAUGAUACAUGGAGAACGGUUUGCCAAGUUUGUUAGAGUGGAUCCGGAUCCAUGAGUGUUGGAUCUCUAGUAAUUGAAUCUUUAGUUAAAGAUUCAAUGUCUCAACGAUCUAUGCUAUACAUUUGUCUUUACGAAUUUUCAUUCAUUGUGUAUUACAUAAUAUUCUUGACCCUCUUAUAUGUGACUUCGGCCGACUUCUAUCACCCGAUAUCGUUGUGUAAUAACUUGAUGAGAUAGCCAAUGCUUAGGUCAUCUUCAAUGGAGAUGGCUAAAGGUCAAAAAGCUAAAAAAUAGUAUGAUUUGUUCAAAAACUCAUCUCCAACCAAUGUCAGAGCUAUAAUUAUAUGGAGCCCACCAUGCCAUUAUUUGGCUAGUGCCCCUUUCUUAGCCCCUUUUUGGGGCCUAGCUCCUCGAUUAUGCCAUCUGCAAUGAAGAGGGCUAAAUGUCUAAAAGCCAAAAAAUGACAUGAUUUACCCAAAAACUCAUCUCCAACCAAUAGCUAGGUUAUAAUUCUAUGGAUUCAACAGUUAGAUUUGGAAACAUCCAAUGUUAGUUUAAUUAAAUUAAAGUAUAAACUUAAAACUAAUAAAUUAUUAGGGAGCCUAUGUUUUAGCCCUUUCGGUUGGAGAUGGUAUAUGAGUAUGGCCGACACUAUUCAUUUAAAAAUAAUUUUUUUGUUGGGUUAUAAUUUUGGAUGAGGCUAUGUCUAGCCCUUUUGGUUGGAGAUGACCUUACAAUGAUUAAUUCAAAUUCAAUGGUUAAAUUUGAAAAUAUCCAACAAAACAUCCAACAGUAGUUUAAUUAAAUUAAUCAAUAAUUUUAAGUAUAAACUCAGAACUAAUAAAUUAUUGAGGGAGUUAUGUUUAGCCUUUUCGGUUGGAAAUGAUAUAUGAGUAUGGCCUAAUACUGUUUAUUAAAAAAAAAAUCUUUAGUUAUCUCUGCUAAUCAAUAAAACACUCAUUGUCAACCAAAAUCCUAUGAAAUUACCAGUUUAACCUUCUAAUUAAAACAAAACAUGAAUAAGAAAUAUGGGGCGGAAAUUUAAUUUUACACAAACAAAAUUUGUUGUUUUUUUUUUUCAAAACUUCAUCUAUAUAUAAUUCUAACAUAUCUCUAAUUAUAAAAUAAAUAAAAAAUAAAAAUAAAAACUUCCUACUCCCACAUUCUCUAUCACUCCCUUCCUCUCUUCUUUUAUUUUAAAACAAAAAAAAAAAUUUCACAUACUUUAUAUAUGCCCAUAUGCUAGUAAUUAUAAACGAAACUAUAUUUAACUAUUUCGUUGAAAAUGACCGUACGAGUAUGUAAAUUUUGAAAUGUGAGUUGUCGUUCACUACGCAAGCAAAGAUCGAAAGCCUUCAUGUACCGAGGGGUCCCACUCCUUGAAUCAGAAUAAAAGUGCUUUGAAAAAGUCCCUUUAAUUAUGUCCAAGUUUGGAUAAAAUUUGUCCAUGCAUGGCAUGCACUCACUGACUGAUCUCGUCGUCCUGAAGGGUAAGAGAGGUAAAUUCCAGAAUAACCCACGAGGCACUGUAUGAAGCCUGUCAAUUACAUCAACUCAUCAAGCUUUCAAUCUUUUCAUGGCAUGCCUAACUUCUGUGAAAUAUGCUCAACAUUUAACAUUUUGUAAACCAAAAAGAGAGUAAGAGAGAGAUGAUUGAAGUAAUAAAGUAAAAGCGAAAUGCAUGCAUUGAUAAAAGGAAAUUUUAACAAAAAAAAUUUCGGUACUGUUUACUUUAACAAAAAAUUAUAUUUUUACAUUAAAAAGUCAAUUCUAAUACUAUUCAUUUUACCCUUUAUUUGUUCUUUAUUGUUAAAAAUCAAAUUUUUCAAUCCAUUUUUAUUAGUUUUCCUUUGAUAAAAGGAGAAAGAUGCAUGGAGAACUGGUUUUUUAUUUUAUUAUUAUUUUUUUUACAAACAAUAAUAUUAGAGUGGAUUAAGUUAUUAGCUGUUAGCGAGAAGAGGAUCAAUAAUAAUCAAACUAGCACCCGGAUGUAUAAGCAUAAUUGUUUUCUAAAAUUGCAAUAAAACGUCACUUUCCAUAUAUAUAUAUAUAAAAAAAAAAAACUUAUUGUUCCUUGUAUGAUGGAUUGCAAUCUCAAUAUCGUUCUUAAUGGAACGGCCACAAUUAGUUGUUCAGGACAUAAACAAUAUGUAUUGUCUUUAUAUUUAGGAAAUUGGCUCUGUUAGCCUUAUUACAAACCCAACAAUUAAAAAUACUCCCAAAUUAUAAUCUCUAUUAGCCCUCUUUUCCUUAAAUACCACUAACUUGAAAGAUGAACUGUUAUUCUAUGUCUCGACGUUGGAUCUCGAUGGCAUCCAAAAGGGCCUCUCAACUCCCUUCCGACUGUAUCUCGACUGAAUCACGACGGCAUCUCAACGGCACAGAACUGAAUUACCCUUAUAUUUAUGAGUUGAUCAGACACUCCAAUUAAAUAAAAAUAACUAUAAUUAUGUCAAAAUUAUUUAGUCAGUCUCACGUAUAUAUAAUUAAUUCAUCAAACACAUAAACAAAAAAGUUCUUGUAUGUAUGCUAUACUUUGAUUUGUCUCAACAAGAAAUGACUCAGUCAUCUUUUUAUCUAUGUCCAUUGAGUUUAUGGAGGGCAACAUAUUGAGAUCUCAAAAAUCUUAUUCUCAUACAACACACUUUUUUUUUUGAACAAACGAUAUUAUCUACACUAAGGGAAAAUGGGUGGCCUAAACCUCACAAUGGGCUAGCAAUAAUGUGGUUCAAAUUCACAUUUGGCGAGAAUCAAACCUAAGACCUCUCACUGACAAGUGAAGAAGAAUAUCACUAGACCGUAGUCCUAAAAAAAAUAUAGAUCUUAUAGUCUUGCAGUGUUUUAGAUUAGCUAAAACGUUGGUAUCCAUAUUAACUUACCAAAAAAAAUAUGUUGAAUUUGCUACACCUGGAAUUUGUAGCAGAUUUGUCAUUUUAUAAAGGGGUUUUUAACUCAUUUAAAAAAAAAGAAGGGGUUUUUAACUUUAAUUCUUAAAAAAAAUUGAAAUUUAAUAAAAAUCGGAUGUUAGAUUACAUAUUAAUUAUUGUCCUUUAAUGUGUUAUUAACUCAAAUUAAUUAAUGUGUAUUUUAUUCAAUAUCUCACAUUAAAUAUUUGAAUUUAUGAAAAUGAAAAUUAUAAUAAAAUAUAAUUAAUAUAUCAAAAUUAGAAAGAAAAAGAGAAAUAAUUAAAACAUCAAAAUAUAAUUAAUAAAUGAAGUAAUUAACAUAUCAAGAGACUAAAAUUAGAUUUUAAUUUUACUCAUGUUUUUAAUUUAAAGUUAUUUUUAUCAAAAAUUAAAAUGAAGUUUCCUAUUUUGUAAAUUACAACGAUGAAAAAUGACGCGUUGCACGUAAGAAACAACAUCUAUAUUUUCUCUUUUGUUUAAUAUGCCAUCAAACAUAUCCAUCACAUUUUAAAUUUUGUGGAAGUCCCUCUCUCACAUUGAUAAAGUCUGGUUUGUGUUGGACAGCUGUCCAACAGACAACCCAAAAAUCUUCCAAAAACCAACAAACAUUUCUGACCAGUCAUGCAUACGUAUGCAUGGACCCAAUGGCAUAUAAUCAAAAAUUUUAAAUAAUGGGAUCGUAAUGUCAACUUAAAAAAAAGUUUCAUUAAGCUAUUUCAUCGAACAUUUAGUAAGCAAUUGUCAAUUCUUGUCAACAAUGCCAAAAGUUUAUGUUAAAAUAUAUCAACUACGAUAAUUUGUAGAGGCUUGUCGAGAGUGAUGUAGGAUACUACGAAGUAAUAUUGAGAACUCUUAAAGCUUUUCAACUAAAGUAUUUUAUAUAAAAAGAGAGAAAAGAAAAACAAAUAUGAUAGAAGAAAAUAGAAGAAGUAAGAAGAUGAGGUUGUAAGUUAGUUUGCUUUAGCUAUUUAUAAUGGUCAAAUAAAAUAUACAAACAAAUAUACAUGAGAUUUUUAAAGUUGUUGAGAUCAAGGAUAAUCAAUGAUCCCAUUCUAGUUUUGCCAUUGCAUGGGCCGGAUAGGGAUAUGGCUAAAAUAUAAUUCUAUUAAUUGCGUUUUGGGACUUUGUCUAACAACUUGGCUCUCUCUUGACUUGGAUGCCAUGGAUGGCUCAUGCAGUUUACUAAAACUAGUAAUGUACAAUUUUCAGAGACUAUUAAUUAUCAUCUAUCAGGAAAAUUUGAUUUCCAUGCUUGCCCUUUCACGUCGGUGACUUGGAGAUAAUAUUGUUUCUUGUCCGGAGAUGAAAUAAAAUAAAAAGACUUGCACGAUCAUACUGCAUUAUAUAUAUUACACUAUAUAGUCUAUGUUGGGAGUUAUAUAUUAGUUAAAGUAUAAAUAGUAGUCUGUUAUCCUAUAUUGAUGAAGUGCAUAUGUAAUACAAAUUGUAAUUCCUAUAUAUACUCCAUUUUGGAGAUUAAUGAAUAUAUGAGAAAUUCUCAAAUAUUAUCAUAUAUAUUUUUGGUAUUUACCAUGUUUAGUUUAAUAUAGCAUCAAAGCAGUUCGCUCUUGGUGACCUGUGUGCUUUAAUUUUGUGCCCCACAUUUGUCAUGAUUUCCUUCGUCUUGAAAAAAAAAAAGGAAAGUAAAUAGUGUUGCACUACAGUACAAACAGUGCGUAAACAGUGGUAUGCUACAGUGUUCAUGAACAAUAUUUUGCUACAGUGCCAUUAACAGUGAUCUACUACAUCACUUGAACAGUGAUGUGCUACAGUAUUAUGGUAAAUUGUUUUCAUUCCGCUGCCUAUCUUUUGUGCCUUUAUUGUUUGUGAUUUAAUUCAAUGGCUCAGUAUAAUCAUAAUGUUGUUAUGCAUCUUGGUGGAACAAAUAAAUGGAUAAUUGAUACUGGGACCACUAAUCAUGUGACUAGUGACCCUAGAAUGUUUGAUGAGUUAUGUGACUAUAUUCUUGAUCCGUAUAUUACUAGUGCAAAUGGAGCACAUUCCCCCGUGAAUGUUGAAGGCAUUAUCUCUCUUACUUCGACCUUAUCACUGGUCCAUACUUUACUUGUUCCUGAUGUUAAGUGCAAUCUUUUGUCGGUAGAAAAACUACUUGAUACUUUAUAUUGUUUUGCUCACUUCUACCCUACGUAUUGUUAUUUUCAAGACAUUCAAACUCAGAAAGUAAUUGGUCAUGGUAAAAGAAUAGAGGGUUGUACAUCUUGACUAUGGAGGAUACUGUUGUUUCCGGUUCAAAUAAUCAUCAAGUUUUAAGUGCUAAAGUGGAUGACAUACAUCAAAUUUGGUUGUGGCAUUGGCGAUUAGGACGUCUAUCAUUCAGUUAUAUGAAGCAUCUAUUUCCUGCUUUGUUUCGCAUUUGUAGUGAUUCAUAAUUCAAGUGUGAAGCAUGUGUCAUGGCUAAGAGUCAUCGUGCUUCCUUUCCCAUAAGUGAUUCUAAAGCUACUUUGCCAUUUGAUUUAAUACAUUCUGAUGUGUGAGGUCCGGCAAAUGUUACUUCUAAUGAAUUUCGUUGGUUUGUUACUUUUAUUGAUGAUUGUACUCGAUUAACUUAGGUGUUAUUGAUGAAGAAUAAGAGUGAUGUUCAUUUGCUUCUUCAAGAAUUUUGUGCAAUGGUGUAUACUCAGUUUCAGACCAAAGUUAAGGUUUUCAGGUUUGAUAAUAGAGGAGAAUAUGUGAAUCACACUUUGACAUGCUUUUUUCGUGAUCAGGGUAUUAUUCACCAGACGACUACUUUGUUUACACCCCAACAAAAUGGUGUGUCAGAACAGAAGAAUCGUCAAAUAAUGGAGGUUGCUCACUCAUUGAUGUUGGAUAAAUGUGUUCCUAAUCAUUUAUGGGGUCAUGUUGUUUUGGCUGUUGUAUAUUUGAUAAAUCGUGUUCUAAGUAGGGUUCUUGAUUUUCAGACACCACUUGAUGUGUUACAAAAGCAUGUUUAUCUUGUUUCUGUAUCAAAACUUCCUCCGAAGGUGUUUGGGUGUAUUGCGUAUGUGUAUGUCUACUCUUAUCAGCGGAGUAAACUUGAUGCAUGUGUUCUUCGAUGUGUAUUUAGUAGGUAUGCUAACAAUCAGAAAGGCUAUAAGUGUUAUCAUCCUCCGACUCAUAAAACUUAUAUUACCAUGGAUGUCACUUUCCACGAGGAAGUUUCGUAUUUUGUGAAGCCAUCUUCCGACUCUCCACUUCAGGGGAAAAAAGGGAGUGAAGUGCAUAUUUGAAGAGAUGGUAUGGAUGAUGUGUUACAGGCAGAGUUGGGGAUAGAACCUAUUAUGUUGCGUGAUACUGAUCAGUCGGUUAUAGAUAGUGAUCUGUCACCUAUUAUUCCUAAAACUAUUUUUACUGACGACAGAUUAGAUGUGCCCAACGAGUUGCUUGUCAGUAUGUCUGACGAAUUACUUUCUGAUGACCGAUUGCUUGCUUCUGGUAUGUCUAACGAGCUGCCUGAUGAUGGUUAGUUCAGUGAUGGUUCAUCCAGUGAUGAUUCUUUUAACAAUUUGGUACAAGAUAAUGACAUACAUGAGUUAAAUUCUGACGAUUCUUCUAUUUAUUAGUUGCCUCCACGAGCUAAUCGUGGAAAACCUAAGGUACAAUAUGAGCCUGAUAUGCAUGCCAAAUCCAAAUAUCCUAUCAACAAUUAUGUGUUUACUCAUCGUUUGUCCAAACCAUUUUCAUCUUACAUAUGUCAGCUAUCUAGUGUAUCAAUUCCAACAAAAUUGCACGAUGCCUUGUCUGACCCUAAGUGGGUUAAUGCCAUGAGAGUUGAGAUGGAAGCCUUGGAAAAGAAUUCUACUUGGGAUUUGGUUCAUUUACCAAAUGGGAAGAAAGCUGUUGGAUGUAGAUAGGUGUUCACUAUUAAGCACAAAGCAGAUGGUUCUAUUGACCGGUAUAAAGCCAUAUUAGUUGCUAAGGAUUAUACUCAAACCUAUAGGGUGGACUAUCAGGAGAUUUUUGUUCUUGUUGCCAAACUUAAUACUGUGUGUGUUCUUCUGUCCUUAGUAGCAAACCAGGAUUGGCCUCUGUUGCAGUUUGAUGUUAAGAAUGAUUUCCUUCAUGGUGAUCUCAAGGAGGAAAUUUAUAUGGAUCUCCCACUUAGUAUUAGAACAUCUCCUGAAAAAUGUGUUGUAUGCAAGUUGCAAAAAGCUUUGUAUAGUUUGAAACAAUCUCUUAGAGUGUGGUUUUGGAGGUUUACAAGUUCAAUGAAGAAGUUUGGGUAUGUCCAGAGUCAUUCAAAUCAUACUUUGUUUCUAAAUUGUUUCUAAAGCCACAAAAUGGUAAGCUAACUGCAUUGAUUAUUUAUGUUGAUGACAUGUUAGUGACUAGUGAUGAUCAAAAGGAGAUACAACGCCUUAAAAAAGUACCUAGCUAGUGAAUUUGAGAUGAAAGAAUUGGGUGAAUUGAAGUAUUUUCUUGGAAUCGAGGUUGCACAAUCCAAGCAUGGUAUUUUUCUGUCUCAACAGAAGUAUGUUCUUGAUUUGUUAGUUGAAACAAAUCUGUUAGAUUGCAAACUUAUUGAUACUCUGAUUGAGCAAAAUCAUCAUCUGGGCUUAUUUCCGAAUCAAGUUCCUACUCAUAAGGAACGGUAUCAGAGGCUUGUGGGGAAAUUAAUUUAUUUGUCUCACACUUGCCCUGACAUUGCUUAUGCAGUUAGUGUAGUAAGUCAGUUUAUGCACUCACCUAGUGAAGCUCAUAUGGAUGAAAUAGUCCGUAUUUUGAGGUGCUUGAAGAUGGCUCCUGGCAGAGGCUUGGUUUUCUCCAAGAAUGGUCAUUUGAAUGUCGAAGGGUAUACAGAUGCAGAUUGGACAAGUUCUAUCACUGAUUGGCGGGUGGUAAUCUAGUUACUUGGAGAAGUAGAAACAAAAAAUGGUGGCUAGGUCAAGUGCUGAAGCUGAGUUUCGUGGUAUGUCUCAUGGUGUAUGUGAGUUGUUGUGGUUAAAAAAAUUGUUGAGAGAUCUUGGAUUUAAACCCAAUGGUGCUAUGAAACUCCAUUGUGAUAACAAGGCUGCUAUUGAGAUUGCUCAUAAUCCAGUGCAACAUAAUCAAACAAAACAUGUGGAGAUUGAUCAACAUUUCAUCAAGGAAAAUUUGGAUGCUGGAAUUAUUAUGUUUCCGUUUGUGAGAUCUGAAGAUCAACUCGCUGAUGUACUUACUAAGACUGUGUCUAAUAGUGUGUUUUCCAACUCGCUUGACAAGUUGGGCAUGCAUGACAUCUUUGCUCCAACUUGAGGGGGAAUUUUACGAGUUAUAUAUAGUUAAAGUGUAAAUAGUAGUCUGUUGUCCUACAUUGAUGAAGUACAUAUGUAAUACUAAUUGUAACUCCUAUAUAUACUCCACUUUGGAGAUUAAUAAAUAUAUAAGAAAUUCCCAAAUAUUGUCAUAUAAAUUUUUGGUAUUUAUCAUGUUUAGUUUAAUAGUCUAAACAUCAGGAAAUACACCAACCCUAAACCUAAUGGAUUUUAUGAAGCCGCUGGUUUGGGUACACAUUAAUCUAACCUAAUUGCUCUACCACAUUCUAAACACAAAAUUUGUUAUAAAUAGGAUGAUUAAAUUUAUUUUCUCAAGCGGUAGAGUAGUGAACCUCACAGCGACGACAAUCUUCCACCCCCAAAUUCGGGUUUUUUUGUACUAAAAUGGUCUUUUAUGUAUAAGAACUUUACGAUAAGUUUAUUAAAAUUGGCUCUGUAUCUACGAAAUCUCAACAUCCAUACGUUACAAAAUGGAUUAGAACUCCUAGGAAAUAAAAUAGAACAUAUGAUGAUCCCUUUAAAGGGCCUUAUAAUGGGGAAGACUUCUCACAGAAUAUAAGAAGACGAAGAGGAAAACUAAAAACUUAGAACUUCAAGGAGAUGGACUGGAGCAGGGAGAAUGGCAAAGAACCGGAACCCAGAAGACCCGCAACGAAAAAGAAAACACUGUACUUUUUUUAGACAUUUUUUCACAUUUCUUCUCGGCCUUACAGCCAAGUAGCAUUUUCCGACCCCAAAUAAAGAUAGAAGGAAAAAACCAAAUUAAGGUAAAUAAAUUUUCUAUAGCAACUUGGCAAACAAAAACAUACUAGAAGAAAACAAGGAAAAUACAAAGAAAUUAAGGAAGUAUGGGAAACAAAAUAAAUUUAAUACGGGACCAACGACAACGGUGCAAAUGUAUAUUGUUCAGGAAAUAAACUUUUAGCGAAAAUGUGCUGCAAAAUUGACCAAUUUUGCUUCAUAUUCACACUCAAUUUUUUUAAGAAUUAAUAUCUGUAGAGUUUAGACCAAAAAUAAAAUAAAAAACAAAACCAAAAUGCUACUCCACUUUCUUGGUACUUAACUCAGCUCUCCACCUCCUUCCAAUCUUACAAGCUUCUAGAUUUAGAUUUGUCUCAAAUCACAUGCCAACUAACCUGCCCAGCUCAAUUUUAUUUUUUCUUUGGAAAUUCCAGUGCGUCUCUACUUUUGUUUUUCUAAAUCUUACUUACUCCCAUUAUAAUUGGAAUUUUAUAUAUUUAUAUGGAUGCUUUGUCAAGAUAUGAGAGAAAUAGUAGUGAUUCAAAAAGAUGAUUAGGAGCCAAAAAUAUUUAUUAUUUUAGAUUGGUGUUUAUGUUUUUGAACAGUUAAAAACUUUUUUGGUCAUUGUGUUUAUGUUUAAAAUUUAUUUUGGUCACUGUAUUUUAUUUUCUGCUAAUUUAGUUACUGUGUUAUCACAAGUUAGCAAUCUUAGUCCUUCUCAAUCAAACGUUAAAAAAAACGCACAUGACAUGCAAGUGCAGGGGUAACUAUGUAAGUGAAAAUAUAUCUUUGCCCCUGCACGAAACUGUCACGUGCAUUUUUUUGGCGGUUGACUUAUGGUAACGCAGUGACCAAUUUGGCAGAAAAUAAAACACAAUGACCAAAAUAAAUUUUAGAAAUACACACAGCGACCAAAAACGUUUUAAUUUAACCCAUUUUUAACAGUCCAGCCAGCUACCAUGAAAGCUACAACAUGAAAGCUGACUGUCAAAAUUUUGUUUAAAAAUUCAUACACAAUAAUCGUCAUAAGAACGUGCAAUAGGUACUUUGAAUUCUUAAAUAUACUGCAUGGUUACCCUUUCCUUUUGUUUUAUACAGAGAAAUCUUGACAGGCAGUCAAAAGCAAAAUUAUGUUCUUCUAGUGAUAUCUGUGUGCUAAAAAGGAAGUACGUAGCUACGUUCAGUCUUCACCUAACACUCCUAUUUGCACCUAAAAGAUGUGGAUAACAAAGAUUUUGACCAAAAUCACAUUGACAAGUACUUGCCAAAGGAUCACGGAACCUAUGAUUGUAAAAGAUAUACGUGUUGGGCCUGACCGACGUUAAUUAGUUGUUCAUAUUGAUUUGAGAAAUUUGAUUGAAUGAGGAUUAACAAAUCACAAUUGCUAAAAUAUUAAAAUGUAUUAACUGCGACAUAUUGGUUAAAUAAUUAUUGCACAUCGAAAAAAUAUUGACGAGUAAUUAUGAAUUUUUAUUUUCAUUAUUUCAAACAUUUUUAUAUUAGAAAAGCUAAAGAAAAUGAUUUAAAAACUUUGAAUUUUAAUGAUACGUACAAAAUGAAAGGUAAAAUAAAUAGUACCAGAAUUAACUUUUUGUUUAAAUUUUAUUUUCUAUUUGGCAUCAACUUUUGGUUUAAAUAUACUAUAUAACCCUCACAAAAGAAAAAGCAUGGUGUACUAGUAGCUAAAAGACAUAAAAAAGGUUAAUCUUAAUUUAUUAUUCUAAAGUUUCUUAGUUUUCAAUAUUUGGUAUAUAAAGUUUUUUUUAUUCUAGAGUUGUACAUAAAGUUAUAAUUUUGGGAUACUUUCAUACAUCCAUUAAGGUUGCUGUUAAAUUUAUCAUUAACUGAUGAUAUGACAUUUAUGUUGACAAUGACACGUAGAUAUUAAAAAUUAAAAAUUAAAUUAAUAAAAUAAUAAAAAUUAAAAAAAAAAAAAAAUUGGGCGUCUUCACCCUCACCCCUUCUGACCCCCCUCCCUUCUCUCCUCUGCACCCACGCUUCCCCCUCCCUCUUCGACUCCACCCAACGCUGCACUCCGAGGAUUGUUGCCAUCCUUUCAAGCCCAAUUUCGCCCCCAAAUAGGCCCGGGCAGUACUUGGCCAUAAACUUCAAGUCGUAGACCCUCUCGAACAAACGACCUGCCAUCUUUGCGAACUCAGUGGGGGAGCUGAGGAUGGUCUUCCUCGUCACCAGCUUCAUUACAUAGGCCGAGUCGUAGAGGCCGUGGAAGCUCACCCAUACGAGCUGCCCCCUGUGCACCCUUAAAAUCUCAACGAAACCCUCCACAAAAAUAUCCGAAUCAAUGCCGAACUUCCCAAAUUUCUCGAGAUCCAAGCCAUUCGCUUUGAGGAGGGCAAUGGAUUCUGGAACAUGGGGGUCGGUUUCCUCGUCAAAACCCCGAAAGUUGAACUCCCAGGUGCCGCCGACGUUGCCGCGGUCGUCGAACAGGGUGAUACCCACUUGGAUGAGAUUGAGAGAAUCGACAUUAAGGGCGAUAUCUUGGUAACGGAGGCCCUUGGAAGUGCCUCUGGGGGUGUUGCGGAGGAACCCCGGAAAUUCGGUGUCGAACGAGACGAUCGGAAAACGGCAGAGACACCGAUCGACGGAGGGAAGGGGAAAGGUGGGUGCAAAGGAGAGAACGGGAGUGGGGUCGGAAGGGGUGAGGAAGAAGAUGCCCAAAUUUUUUUAUUUAUUUAAUUUUUUUAGUUUUUAUUAUUUUAUUUUUUAAUAUGCACGUGUCAUCAUGUCAUUGUCCACGUGGAUAACACAUCAUUAGUUAACAGUAAAUUUAAAGGCAACCUUAAUGAAUGUAUAAAAUUGUUCCAAAAUUAUAACUUUAUGUACCACUCUGAGAUGAAAAAAACUUUAUUUACCAAAUAUUGAAAACAAAAAAACUUUAAGAUAAUAAACUAAUAUUAAUCCUAAAAAACUACUAAAGGAAAGGGUGAAAGAAAAAAUUAUUAGUUUGUGCUGUUCUCAUGGUAAUAGUGGUUUUUGUAUUGUACGAUCAUGUGUUACAUUUUAUGCAUUAUUAUGUGGAUGAAUGAAUAAGUUAAUUACAUCGCAUGUCAUAGGGUGAAUAUUACAUUAAAAAAUUCUUCAUUCUUGUUAUUCGUCAAAUUAAUGGUUGUGCAUUUGUAUGAGGACCUAGAUCUGUUGAGGAUGCAGAUCUUCACUCGUUGAAGGCCAUCCCUAUCUAUCUACUACUACUCUUUGGAAAAUAAUUGACUACAGAUGAUUGUACAAAAAAAUAAUUAAUAUUAUCUGAACAGCUCACCAUGCAUGUUCAGUAAAGUAAAGCGGAUUUGUUUAUUCAUUGUCUAGUUCAAACUUGGGGAGCAUUUUCUCAUUCUUGCGGUGAUCAGAAUAAUGUGAUUUAAGUCCAGUUAAACAUGCUUAAUUAUGCAUUUAAGCAUCUUUUAUUUAUUUGCUUUCAUUAUUUUUUCCUUCUUAAUGUGUUGUUAUUGUUUGGAACAACAAGUAAGACAAAUCUAGCCAGUUAGCAUUCACCGCAUCACCGCAUAAUGAAAGAUUAUUCAUAUUUGGAAAUGAAUAAUUAAUUAAAAAACUGUAUUAUUAAGGCAAAUGGGCACUUAAUAUUUGUAUCUUAAACCUUCCGAGUCGGAUAUUCGAGUAAAUUAGUUAAAAAGCUAUGCAAAAUGUGAAUGUGACAGACUACGUAGUAAAGUUUGGGUUAAGAGAGAGAGAGAGAGAGAGAGAGAGUAUUUCGCAGCCGGCUGGUCCCUAUGUACGGGAAGAAUCAUAGAAAGUUAGGUAACUACACACAUUUUUCAAAGAUGUCGAUCAUGAAAAAUAUUUGAUAACAAAUUCAGGGAGGACAUACUGCUUAAAUUAUUAACCUAGAAAUAAAGUUCGAUCUCUUGCUUUAACUUUUCUGCUACGUAGCUCUUAUUGCAUUAAACAAAGCCUUAUUAAAGUAAAGAUGGUCACACCCUUAGCCCUUUAGGUGAUACGUUCAGGGAAAUGGUUAAUGUUUUUACAAGCUCUUGUUUAUUUUUAUUUUUUAAUAUUUUCAGAUAUUUUUACAAUCUUUUACUGCGCAGUAAUAGAGUGUAAAAAUCAUAUCUAUGUAUUUAUUUAUUAUUAACUAUGUUUACAAUGAACCUUCUAUUCCAUGAAACAAGAUAUAAAAAUAAAAAUAAAAAGGAGAAGGGCAUAAAUUAACAAAAUUCGGUCAAAGGCCGCAUUGGUCCAAACAUUAAUUGAUAAUCUAUGACAAAUAGUCUGGCCCCAUUAGCAUUAUUUUAACAGUAAUAUUGUUUUUUUACUAAGAUAAUUAAUAAUUGCCAAGUGAAAAUUUGGCAUGAGUACCAUUGUGAAGGGUAAAAACCAAAGCUAUAUAAAGGGUGAGGAGGCUUAGCUUCAGAGGCAGACAACCAAAAACCCAUUCUUAACGAAGGAUGGGAAAAAUGGUGCCUUCACAAGUGACCUCUCUUGUGGUCACUCUCCUAGUGGCAAUAGUCUCUCUCACAUUGCCUUCAGAAACUUCAGCUAACUACCCUUACACCUCUCCACCACCACCGGCCUCUCCUCCCUACCAUUACAAGUCACCACCGCCUCCUUCUCCUUCUCCUCCAGUGCACUACUCACCACCUAAGCAUCCCUACCACCCUAAGUCACCACCACCUCCUGUGUACGCACCACCUAAGCAUCCCUACCACCCUAAGUCACCACCACCUCCUGUGUACCCACCACCUAAGCAUCCCUACCACCCCAAGUCACCACCACCAUCACCAAAGCCUUACCACUACAAAUCCCCACCACCACCUCCUGCUCCAGUGCACUCACCACCCCCACCUAAGGAGCCAUACCACUACAAGUCCCCACCACCACCACCCAAGAAGCCCUACCACUACAAAUCUCCCCCACCACCUCCUCCUCCAGUUCACUCACCACCACCACCCAAGGAGCCUUACCACUACAAAUCUCCACCACCACCACCCAAGAAACCUUACUAUUACAAGUCUCCUCCACCACCACCAAAGAAGCCUUACCACUACAUGUCUCCUCCCCCACCGGUGUACUCACCACCUCCACCAGUGCACUCACACCCACCACCAAAAAAGCCUUACCAUUACAAAUCUCCUCCCCCGCCAGAAUAUUCACCAGCUCCACCAGUGCACUCAACCCCACCACCAAAGAAGCCCUACCAUUACAAAUCCCCACCACCACCACCACCACACAAGAAGCCUUAUUACCCUGUUCACUCACCACCUCCACCUAAGAAGCCUUACCACUACAAAUCCCCACCACCACCUUCUCCUACUCCUCCUAAAUACUCACCACCUAAGCACCCCUACCACUACAAGUCUCCACCACCACCACCAAAGAAGCCUUACCAUUACAAGUCCCCACCACCUCCUUCUCCUACUCCCCCUAAAUACUCACCACCUAAGCACCCCUACCACUACAAGUCACCACCACCACCACCCCAAGAAGCCUUACCACUACAAGUCUCCACCACCACCACCUCCUCCAGUUCCCACACCAUCUCCACCCAAGAAACCUUACCACUACAAGUCUCCCCCACCACCCCCUCCAGUCUACAAGUCUCCUCCACCACCAGUUUACUCACCACCACCACCACCUAAGAAACCUUACAAGCCACCAACUCCUCCAGCAGUUCACCCACCACACGGUUACAUCUAUUCCUCACCCCCACCUCCUCACCACUACUAGAUAUUGAAAGUUUAAUUGCAUCAAGCUGGUAAGCUUCUCCAUUCUAUGCUAUUAUUCAUUAAUUAGUUAGUACUACUGUUGUCAAUUUGGAAAUCACCAUACAACCAAAUGCACACUCUGACGAAAUAACAUAUAAAUUCUAAUUGAAUAGUCUUUAUUUCCAUUUUUGGCUAAUAAUCCUUAUUAGCAUAUGGAUAAUGUAUUUCCAACAUAUCGUUAUUAACUUAUUACUCAAUUAAUAUUUCUUUUUCUUUAAAUUCAGUAGCCGUGUGUAACAAAUAGACCAAUGGCAGAGACCCAACAAAUAACAAUAAUAUGUCUUUGCAGGUAAGGGAAGAAGAAAGGUCAGAAUAAAGAGGGGCUGUUGAAGUCGAACAGCGCGCCUUAUUACCACACAAAGAAGAAGAGAGAGAAAAAAACGAGUCUCCACGCAGCUGCUGAUGUGACGUGUUUUAUGUAUGCGAUAUUCGAUAGAGGUUCAUAUUUUCCUUGGAAUAUUAGACAGUUGUAGGGCACUCAUGUUCCAUGUAUUUUAUUUCCUGUUUCUCAAAAGAGAUGGUAUAUGUAUGUUGUUUGUUUCAACCUUCUAAUGGAGAGGUGAUCAUCAUAAUAAUAAAAUAAAUACAUUCCCCAAAUUUUACUUAAUUUCUCAUAUAUCUGAUAUGUUUUACUCUCUUAAUUAAAGUUUCCUAAUAAUGUUAUAAAAACCACGUAUAUCACAUUGGUGUACCAUUUAUUCUCACAAGUAAUGUCACGUCAAUUAAUGAGUUUAUCUCAUUGAAUAGUAAUUGACUUGCUUACAUUAUAUGGUAAUAAUGUGGUGUAAAUAUGUCGCAUCGUCCUUAACAUCACUCUAAAUUUCUUGGUAAUAAUAUAUGCGAGCAGUGUUAACAAAUCAAAGGAUGAGAAAGAAGAAAAACUAUUUGCAAAUUCUUAUUCUUAAUAUUUCAUAAACACAAAAUAAAGAAGACUAUGAAUUGUUCAAAUGCAUACUAAGUGAUCUAUUUUGGCAAAUCAUCUUAGUAUUGUAUUAUUUUCUUCAAUUAAGUGAUCUAUUUUUUUUCAAUUUGUUUUCCAUAUUUCAUGGCUUAAAUUUGUGAUUACUUUUUCAACAUAAAUGUCAAAUACUUUUUCUAAAAGUUAAUGUUGUCUAUUAUUUAUCCGUUGCUGGGAAAAAAAGUUAAAGUGGUAAUCUUAUUGAUAAAACUUAGUUCACUACACUAUAUAUACAAUUGUCUUCCGGUAGACCAUCAUGGAUAAAAAAUCAAAAGGAUUAUCGAAACCCCAAAAAAUUCUCACUAGUAGAAAGAUUGUUCAAAUUCUACAAUGAACCACAAGAAGUCUAACUCACUUGGUCAUUGCUGAUUGACUAUCAUUACUAGGUUAAAGCAACAUUUUAAGUUUUAACCUAAAUAGGAUCUCAACAAGCUAGGGUUUGAGAUUAGUGUUUUAGGUGACGACAGAGCUCUUUCCUUUCUUUAUGUUAUCCAAACUCUUUUUCUUUUUUCAUUUUUAUCAAGAAACUGUAGGUCUCAAUCAAAUUUAUGGAUUAUGGAUUUUAGUUAUGUAUUCUUAGUGUGGAAAUUUGACUAUAAAAUACGUUGACACUUGUCCUUUAAACUAAUGCAACCGAACAAACUUGUAGUUAACAAUUUUAUUAAGAGAGAUUAUAUUCACACACUUCAAAUUACUUAUGUCACACCUUUCUAAUUUUUUAAUAUUUUCUACACACCACUAACACUUGAAAGAAAAAAUAUUAAAAAAAUUAAAAGAGUGUGGGGCAAGUAAUUUGGGGUGUGUGAAUAUAAUCUCUCUUUCAUUAAAUCAUAACAUGGUGGAGUGAGUAAGUGAUGAGGAAAGACAAUUACGUCGCUCAUAUGCAAAUGAGUGGACAAACCUUCCAAUGGAUGCAACGGUGGUCAUGAAUUAUGAUUGUGUGUAGGGUUUCGAGUUACCGACGUUGACUGUCAUGCAAAUUGAGUACGUAGCCACUUACACUUAAUGGCAGAGGUCGAUGAUUUGCGCUACGGAAAAUGGUUUGAUUUGCUUAUACCAAUUACCAAACAAAGCAAAUAUAUUCGUCCUUUUGGUUUGGUUGUCAACUGUCAAGUAUGCGUUAGAAUUUUUUAAUUUGGGUUAAAUAAAAUAAAAAAACAAUACUCAAAACUUUUUGGGGAUGAGAUCUGAGAAAUUUAAUUUUUUCCCUUCAUAUAUUAGGGAUGAAAGUUGACUUAAUCACACACAAUGGAUCAUACCAACAAUAAUUUAGUAUCGAAUUCAUCAUUCAUGAAAAUCAUAUUUGAGCCUAAAUAAAAAUAAGCAUGUUAUGGGGUCAAUCUACUUUUAUUUACAGAAAGUUGCACGACUCAGGCCCACCAACUUCAAAGCCUAAUUCAAGAUCAUAUCACAAAGCUUGGGCGACCUUUUUGUCCCCCUCCUAGCUAUUCGAGGGCUUGGGUAGAUCUCUCUAUGAAGUGCGUCCACCACGCAGAUGACCAGACCCGGGAAUAUCUCGCCUCCUUAAAUGUUGAUGUACGCAUCAUCUAACAUGCUAAUGUCACCAUUGCAAUUAUGAAAACGGCCAUGAAAUACAGUUUAAGGCCACCAACCAGAAAUUAUAGUCAAUGUCAACUCACCGAUCUACCCAUGCUCCAUCUUAGCCAUGAGAUCGAGGUUGCUCUUGCUUCAUUGCCUAUAAAUAGAGUGGGAAACCUUCAAACUUAGGACCUUCGUCUGAUCCAAUCUCUACAAUUAUAUAAAACCUCGAUUGAUUCUUCAAUCAACCCAACUUCUUUCAAAGUACAAUCCAAUUGCUCUUCAACUACAAUCACAAAGCCUUCGUUAAAAGCAAACAUUGCCUAUGUCCCUGAGAUCUUAAACUUUUACAGCUUUUCCAACCCGUGGUAUGAUUCGGUUGAUGUGUCAAUCCAACCACCCUGAUUUCCUCUUAGAGGCACAUGUUUUGGACUAAGUCCAAUUUGAUACCAGAGACCUCAGUGGACUCCUCUAGCAUUAUCUAUCCCUUCAUGGCCUAAAUCUUGUAAGAGUUUUUACAGCUUUCUUUACAAUUUUACUCAAUUUUCAUUUCAAGUCAUGUAGCUCGGCCCAUCGGCCAAGAUUUUACUUUUAUAUAAUGCUUGUAAUGUUGACUUCAUUAUGAAAUAAUUACAUUUUGUUCAUCACAUUAUUUUCCAUUUUCCUUUUUCAUGUUUUAGGCAAAAACACAAAAAAGUUACAUUGAAUUUUAAGUCCUCAUUCACUCAAGGCAUAGAAAAAAACUUAAACGAACUAGCGUCUCAUUCAAUGCACAACAAUUGGUUAAGAAGUCAGAUCUUUGCGCAACUUUCACACACAUCCAAAUACAAAGAUUGUCUGUUGACAGCCUCCAACAAUAGCACACCCAUUCUCUCAUUUUCUCGAGCCACCUCGUGACAUUGAUAUAAAAAAUAACACUCGGGGAAAAUAAAAGUUACAGUAGUAGUGAAAGAAAUUUAGUUGUUGUAAUAACUGAAUUUUGAAGGGCAUAUUAAGUAAUAAAAAUUAUGAGCAGAUAGUAUUUGCCCCAUUUGGCCUAGUGUCGACCAAAAAUGUACCUUCACCUAGAAAAGGAUUGUAGAAAGUGAAGUUAGUUCAAUAAUUGUCCUCUUUUUUGUUUUCUUUUUCGAUAUUUUAAGUGCUAUAUUGAGACUUUGGGGGCUUUUUUUUCCCAAAGCUCUGGCCUAUUCCGCGAAGAACUGAGAUUGAAUGGAGACUUUAUCAUUCUCACUAAUAUUAUAAGAAAAAUUGCACAAUACCAUUGUAUUAUUAAUUUGAGACAAUGGUAUUAAUUAUAGACAUUACAAUAGUGUCAAGAAUAAUGCAAAUAACUCAUUCUCCUUUGUUUAUUAGGUCGAAUUUCACUAGCUACAAAUAAGUUUAGCGGGGUGUAAGGAUGGAGACUUUAUCAUUCUCACUUAUAAAUCAUCAUAUAUUUAGGUGUGGGGUAAGGGGUUGGGGUAGAUUAGGUCCCAGGUUCGAGGCCUGGUGGGGUGGGGUGGGGUUGAAAAAAAAAAUCAUAUAUUUAGGUGUGGGUUUGGAAGGUAGACUUGAUUCCGCGGUGUUUUGAGGAGGAGGAGGGCAAUCUUAUUCUUGGUUUACCAAUAAGUUUAGCAGGGUGUAAGGAUAGAGUCAUAUGGCACUAUUCAAGAAAAGUUGCAAAACCACUAAAACUUUAUUUUAAGAGUCAAAUCUACUAAAUUCUUCUCCAAGAGACUUGAUAAAGGACUCUAUAUAAUAGCAAGUUGCUCUUUAAAUUUAUAAGUAAUGCCUAAUGGGGCUUUUAAGAAAAUAUUAAUAUUUAAAAAAAAAGUAUUAAUUUUUGUUUUAGACAUUGUAUAAGGAAAAUGAUAAGCAUACAUCCUUUUUAGCCUCGAUCAACACUUAUAUUUAAUCUUGUUCAUUAUUUUUGUUUGAUUUAUACAAUGCGAUGGUCAAAAAAAUAAAUAAAAAAUAUGUUUGAGAAGUUAAAAAUGAUGUGUGAAAAUCACCUGCCAAUAAACAAAUCUAUUAUUAAAACUAAUACAAACUUUAAAACUAAAACUCAUGAUCAAUUAAGAAACGCUCAAGUCAAAUUCAUAAUAGCCAUAAAACAUAAAACACCUAAAUUUACUAUGCCAAUUCAAUCAACAAUCGUAUUAUAAAUAUGUUAAAUCCUUACAUGAAUGGAAUUGUUAGCCCAUCAAUCCAAGUAAUUGAAUGAUCUUUGGAGAUUUACUUAAGAGCAGUAUUAAUAUGAAUUAUGAACUUAUGAGAGAGAAAUAAUCUAUUAUUCUUUUCUCUAUUAGGCUAUAUUAUAUUUAUUUUGUUAUUGAAGAAAUUAUAUAUUGUAUAAUAUUUCCAUGGGGUGCAAAAACAUCGGGGCGCCUUUUUUUAGUUGGGGACCUUGUGCAAUGUCUUAUAUUCCUCCCCUUCAAUCCGGCACUGACAGGAAGGGAGAGAACGAUUUAAAAAAUGAACGGGUUGAAUUUGAAUUGAUAAUAAUUAGUAAAUUAUUUAAACUUUGUUAAAUAGAAAAUAUUGUUGAAAAUGAAAAGUUAAACUGAGUAAUUAAAAUAGUUUUUUUGACACUUUUCACUUGCUUGUUUAACAAAAAUUUAGAGCUUGUCUUUGAGAUACUCUUACUCCUUUAUUUAAAGGACUCGGCUUUUCUAUUAUAGCUGUCGUAUUCAAUAUUGUUGCAAUUAAUGAACUUAAAUCAUUUCGUUAUGACCAAAUUAAGAUAAUCAUGGACAUGUAGAUUAGGUAGCUAAUUCUGAUUUUGACUCGAUCACAUCAAGGUUAUCGUAAUUAAUGUCGGUUAAUUUAAUAUGCGUCUCUGAUCUGAUUACAUUACCAUGGUACGUAAACAUGUGUAUCCAUCUGCAAGACUCAAGAUUUAUAAUUUUGUUUUGUUUACUGUUUUUACGAAGAUAUUUAUGAUUUGAUUUUAUAAUAAAUUUUUUUUUAAAAAAAAAAUCAGAGCAAAACUGCAUCAUGGCCAACAAUCCAGCCAGAUUCAGUUCAACUAUAAUUUUGGCCAAUUUUUCAAAGCUGAUGGAUGUUAGUAGAUUUGUGUGGGGAACACUGAAAAGGCUAGAUUAUGAAAUACCAGAAAAGUAUUGACAUUUCAAUUGCUUAAACCAACCAUGAUGAAGAGUUCUAUGAAUUAUUUUUCAAAAUUUGAUUAAAUUGUGUCAUCCAGAUUAACGAACAUUGUUUCAUUGAAAUUAGUUCAUCAAGAUUGCGUAACUGGGAUAGCUUUCACACUGUAUUAACAUACAAAGAGGCUCUACUUCGUUAGAGUGUUCAAACUGUACACGUAAUUUGACUGCCGUACACAUUUUUCUUAUAUCUCUCCAAUCAACUUUAUUUUUCCUUUUGAAUAAAUUAAAGAUAAAGAAAGAAAACCAUUUUGCCUUAAAUGGCAAGAGAUUGAUGAAAAUCUACUCUAAAGAAGGGACAGGAUAUAUAUAAAUUAAAAUUCAUCAUGUACAAAGUAAGCGUAGGACAUUUUCAUCAUUUUACUUUGUCGUGCCCAUAAUUCUUUGCUCUAUAUAUUUUAUCUUUGUUGGUGGUCGAUGCUUUGGUUGGCUGUCAAUUGCGACGGACUGUCGUAAAAAUUGUCGGCAACCAACCAUGUGUUCUUGCAUGCCCGAUGUUCUCGCCACCUCACGUGGAAAUUUCCAAUGGAAUGGAGGGCCAAAUUUCAGUUUUUAUAUCAAUUUGUUUAUGUUAAAAUUUUCUUGUAAUAUAAGUCAAUGGUUGAAUUUGCAGUAGAAACAAACAAAAUAUGUGGACGAAUUUGAUAAAGUACAAGAAAAAAAAAACUGCAACUUAAGUAGAUGACGUGAUUCUUCACCCGGACAACAAGGAAGAAGACAUGAAAUCGGGAACACUGGAUGACGAAGUACACAAAUUAAACUUAUCUAAUCCAUUUUAAUAAAUUGUUACAGGGUGGCCAGUGGUCGGGAAUAAAUCACAGACUCGCAUUUCAGAUACCUCACGAACUUGAUUUUUGUUACUAACAAAUCACAUGAAGGUGACCAAGAGAAGGUUGAAAUGUCAUUGUGAGACGUCUUUCUUACCCUCGAAAGAUGAACUACCGUAAUGAAGCCACCAACUCAUCUUUUUAAAGGAAAGAAAAUCUAAGCCGUCCUAAUACAUGUUGUCACUCAUGGGAAUUAGAGAAGAAAUAUUCGUUAGCCACUUACAGUUGGAUGCUUAUUAUAUUAACUAGUUACAAAGUCAAAGGUUUUUCAUUGAAUGGAAUCAUAAGAUGUAAACAUCUAGGAUUAAUAUUUGGAAAAUAAUUAAACUCAAUCCCACCGCGUAGUUCUGUAACAAGUUUAUAUGUCUAAUAGAGUUUAUAGAUCUAAUAGUUAGUUAAGAGUAUUCAUUCUUACUCUUGAAGUUUUUUUGUUGACACUCUCUCUUUUAACCAUUUCUUGUAAUCAUUACAAGAAUUUGGAUUCUUUUAAUCCUAGGAGUGCAAUACUAAUUCUUAAUCUUUGUGUUAACCAUAAUAUCAUGACACAUAUCACCAAGUAUGAUCAGCAACUAGGAGAACGAGAGAAGAUGCGUGACUUAAGAAAAUUGAUGUGAUUUUGGAUUUUUUUUUACUUUAUGCACGCCCGCUCUUUAAAAAAAAAGAAAAAAGAUAUGUGAAAGGUGAAAAACAGUUGUUUCCGACAAACAUAAUUCACUUUCUAUAUGUGUACUUUGUAUUUUUUUUCAUCAAGUAAGGAAAUGGUGAAAAGAAAAAUGUACAUUAAUCGUAUCAUAUGAUAUAUUGUUCUUCUCAAGACAACUAAGAAGCUAAACUUAAUGUCAGAGAUUAAGACGUUUUGUUGGCUUGUCAUUCAAGGAAAGCUUAAUACAUAUAAUAUAGAGUUGGGAAGGUUAAUUUGUCCGUAUCUUGUGUAAAACAUGAUCUGGAUUUCAAACCCCCUAGACUUUUUGUUGUCCUACUCACGCAGCCCAUUCCCAAGUUCCAACCCUCCCAACAACCCUAUCCAGGAAGGCCAGCGCAGAUGUUAAGGCUGUGACCAGGGUUGUAAUACCAUCUCCAAUGGAUAAGUCAAAUCAUAAGUGGAAUGUCGCAUAAUUAAAUUUAAAAGUAAAAAAGAAGUUCCAACCGAUAGUUUUUCCGGAUCCUGAAAGAGUGGAUAACCGUGACUUAUCACCACUUGUCUUAUUUUUCGAAGAAAAAAAAAUGUCAAUCCUAUGUGAAUUAACAUGAGUUUUUGGUAUCAAAAUUGACAUGAAAAAUGUGUUGGCAAUUAAUUCUUUAGUGAUUUUAUUGUGCGGGUUUUAUUAAUGGACCAAUUCUAAAGCUUAAAAAUUAUUUUAAUUGAUUUCUUUUUCAUAAUGAACCUACGGAUAUUAAUUAUAAAUUUGACAUUACCACAUCAAUCGUUAAAAUUAACAUUUGACAUUCAUUUUUUGACUUUUCCAUUGAAGAUGUUCCAAUUAGCUUCAAAUGCCUUCGAGUUGAACUCAUGUUUGGGUCGUUUUAGGCAUGUUCAAUCUCUACUUGCAAGUAAAAGGAGUCGGGCACGAACAUAAUAUUCAGUUCGAUACAAAGAUGAGAUAGAAUUUUAGUAUGAUCAAAAGCUCGUAAAACUCUUAACAUCCCAUAUCAUUUUAUAUUGGACAUGCAAUCAUUUGAAAGUAUAGAGCUAUGCUUAAGCACAAAUUAUAUCAUUUGAACCAAGCACCUGGUACUUGGCGCGACUCAUCAACGCAGCUCUUGCAUUUUGUCCUUUGAUUUCUUCAAUAUAAAACCAUAAAUAAAUAGAAAUGUGCAAGAUAAGACGAGUCUGAUAAGAUUUCAAUAGAAGUGUUCCAUACGAACACUGUGCCAAGCACUUUUCAGCUGUUGGAUCGACGGAAUUUUACCACUGCUAGGCUAACAAUAUAAUUUCCGUUCGAUCUCUUUCAUAAACGAAACACUAAAACAUGAAUCGAUUUAUCAAUCACCCGAUUAACAUACUCCAAGAAACAGGAAAACAAUCAGUCACAAAUUACUCGCAAAUCGCAAUUAAAACGAAAGAAAUUGAGAAAUCCGGACUAGGCUACAAGCACGUCAAGUCAAGAUCGGCAAAACAUUUAAUAAAACACCAAAUCUGUCAUAUUUUCUGACCUUCCAAAUAUUCAAGUCCAUAACAGAAUGAACAAGCUGAAAACAGCAGAUGAAAUAUGCACAAAGGGAUACACCAAACGUACCUCCAUCGCGAGAAAGAUACACUGCGUUUUGUGAUCGCAUCUACACCAAGCGCUUCGUCCGACAAAACCAUCACUACACAUAUAGGUAUAGAAAAUAUCUAGCAUAGCGUCUUCAUCUCAUUUCUCAAACAGACAAUAUUAUACAAUGACAUUCAACUGGGUGUUUGCUUCGAUGAGUUCUACAACAGACAGGAAAUCAGAUCAUCAAGCACUAAUCACUAAUGACAUCGUCUCUUGAGCAAUCUCUCUAAUUUUCUCUUUCCUUGAGUGUACAGUAUAACCUCUAUAUUCAUAUGAGAAACAAACGAAAAAAACAAAGCCUCAUCCAUAUCCCAAACACCUAAAAAUGAGCCGGUCAGAAUGUUGCAAAAAGAGAAGUUUCGGGUAUUUCAGAAAUUUUCUGAGUCGUGUCAUAACUCUCAAGUGCCAUUGGAGGGUUCUGAAAUUUCCUGAGAUUUCAUGCAUUUAGUUCAGUGUGGGGCUGAGAGCCUGAUAGAACAAGGGAGAACCAAACAUCAAGAAAGACGAGAGAGAGUGUCCUACCUGGACUUCUUGGAGGAGAGAUUCAAGUUGAGCUGUUAUAUCGGAGAAGGAAGGCCGAUUGGAAGGAACUGAAUCCCAGCAACUCUGCAUUAAUUCCAAAACCUUGGGGUGUCCAUUAUUCGGAAUUUCCGGUCUCAGCCCCUGGGAAAUAGAAUGUCAAACAAAACAUAACUAUUUAGGCACAAAAGAAUUUGGAUAAAAUACUACGCUGAGUGAACAGCCAAACCAGUUGGUAUGUACCAUUGUACAUGAUUUCAGAGGCAUAAUUUAUACUUAUUUAUAUUAUAAGCAACAAAAAUGUCAUCAGAAGAUACAGAAAUUUGUUAUUCACUAAGUUUUACCCUUUUCUUGCGUUUAUAAAAUAUAUGCCUGCUUUGUAACAGCUUUUUUUAGUUUGAAUGGGAGGAUAUUCAGACCACAGGGUUACAAACAUAAACUCAGGCACGUCAUCAAUUCAAACUUUAAUUCGACAUGUAGAAUUGUCAACAUCUGUAAGAUACACACAUGGCAGGCAACAGGACGAAACACCAUAGAGGAAAAUUUAUAAUCAAGUUGCAUGAACUGUGGAUUAACAGGAUUUCUUAAGCAGCAAAUACAAUGCGGGCUAUAGAAAACACGUCUUCAUUCAUCAAUAUUCAAUACACAGACGAACAGAUAUAAAUAAUACAUAUGUAUUAUAAAUGGAUAUACGAAUAAACAAUAAA